Molecule: long non-coding RNA, 59419 nt
Filed under: Citrus sinensis (sweet orange)
Lineage: Eukaryota; Viridiplantae; Streptophyta; Magnoliopsida; Sapindales; Rutaceae
Description: long non-coding RNA (CSIN_LNC002379)
Source: RNAcentral
CAAAUUUAUUGUACUUUUGGCUCUCUCUCAAAAUGGGUUGCUUCUUUCAAAUUUUUGGAUGUCGAAACCAAAUGGGGAGGUUCCUUUUCAUAGCCAAAAUUGGCUAGUAAAAUAUUAUUCUUUUCUUGUCGAAAUUUGCUGCAGUACCACCAUCAUAUUUCUUACAUUUCGGCUUCUUCAAUGUCAAAGUCAUGUGCCACCAAUUUUGCUUCUUUAAAGUUGCUGCAGCCCUAUUUGAUUUUUCUUUAUUUAAAAAGAGUUGCUUUUAGAAUUUGGCAGCCAUUUUAUUGACAUUCUCCCACUUGGAGAUUUGAUUGAGAACCAAUCAAUCUCGAUACCAUUCUUUUUGCUUCGCCAUUGUCAUGUUGCUUACGUUUCUGCUAGGCCACACAAGGAUCUACUCCAUACAAACUUGUCAAUAUUGAUUGGCUUGAUCAUAACAUCUGCUAGAUUUUUCUUUGUAUAGAUUUUCGGCAAAUCCACACUUCUGUCUUCUAUUACUUCUCGAACGAAGUGGUAUUGAACUCCUAUGUGCUUUGUUCUGGAAUAAAAGACUAGAUUUCUUGCAAUGUGCAAGAUACUCCGACUGUCACAAAACAAAGAAAUUUUCUUUUGUAUGUGCCCGAGCUACUUCAUUAACUUUUGUAUCCAAAUAUCUUUCUUUCAAACUUGUGUAGUUGUCAUGUAUUCUGUUUCUUUUGUAGAUAAAGCCAUAAAUGGUCUGUAAUUUUGAAACCUAGCUUACAGCUCCUCUUGCAAAUGUAAACGCAUAGCUAGUAAUGGAUUUAUUUUUAUCAAGGUCUCCUGUAAAAUCUGAAUCCACAUAGCCCCUAACAAUAAAUUCUAAUCUUCCAUAACAUAAUGCAAAAUUUAAGGUUCCUCUGAUGUAUCUCAAAAUCCUCUUCACAGUUUGCCAAUGUUCUCCAUUAAGAUUCGCCAUGUAUCGACUGACUGCUCGUAUUGCUUAUAUAAUAUUCGUUCUAGUACAUAUUAUAACGAACAUUAAACUUCCCAUUAUUGAUGCAUACGGUACUCGAGACAUCUUUUUUCCCUCUGUUUCAUUGUUAGAACACAUAUUUAAGGAUAAAAUUAACAGGAAAUGGGGUAGAAAUUGGCUUACAAUUUUGUAUGUUCAAGCGCAUCAAGAUUUUCUUCAAGGAGUUCUUCUGAGAAAGCCAAAUCUUCCUGUUAUUUUUGUCUCGAUGAAUUUACAUCCCUAGGAUCUUGUUUGCUGGUCCCAACUCCUUCAUUUCAAAUUCCUUAGCCAAUUGUGCCUUCAAUUAUUAGACUCGACUUUGUUAGGGGCUGCUCCCAACAUGUUAUCCGUACACAACAGCAAAAUGAUAAAAUCAUUAUCUUCAAACUUCUUGUAAUAUGCAUAAUAGUUUGAACUGAGUCUGUUGUAUUCAAUACUCAUAAUGAAGGAAUCAAAUCUCAUAUACCAACACCUUAGCGCCUGUUUGAAACCGUAUAGAGAUUUGUUCAAUCGACAAACCAAGUUCUCUUUGCAUGUUUCAGCAAAACUUUCUGGUUGGAGCAUAUAAAUUUCUUCCUCAAGUUUUUCAUGAAAAAAUGUAGUUUUCACAUUUUCACAUUUUCACAUUUAACCGCUCUAGAUGUAGGUCAAAUGUAGCACACAUUGCUAGGAAUACUCUGACUUUCGUGAGUCGAACCACCGUAUAAAAUAUUUCAUUGAAGUCAAUACAUUCUUUCUGAACAUAACCUUUUACUACCAAUCUUUCACGAUAUCGCUCCACUUAUUCAUUGCCAUAACUCUUGAUCUUGUUGACCCAUUUAUUACCAAUUGAUUUUUUUUUUAUAUGGCUGUGGUACAAGUUCUCAUGUCUUAUUCUUGUGUAAAGCUUCAAUUUCUUCUUGCAUUACUAUCAUCCACAAAGUAACAUCUGAGCUGCUUAAAGUUUCAUAGAAAGUUGAUGGCUUUCCAUCCUCUAUUAGAAAACAAUAUGCAACAUUGAUCUUUGUGACAUCAUCCAAGUGCCACACUGGUAGUCAGCCCUCACGAGUUGACUGAUGAACUUCUAGGGUUUCGGACUGGACUGGACUGAUACUUACUCUUCGUGCUUUGAUGCUAUUUCAGAAGAAUUUGAAUAUUCUGUUUUUAGAUCAUUUUCAACAUAUACCGACAAUCUCUGACCUUUUUUUUACAGUGCUAUCAUCAUUAUCUCUAUUUUGCAAUUAAUCUUCUACAAAAAUAACAUUUAUGCUGAUACGAUCUUGUAGGCCGUGGGGUCUCACAAACGAUACCCAUUUGCUCCAUCAACAUAUCGUAAGAAAAUACACCUCUUGAAUUUUAGAUCUAACUUUGGUCUUUCUUGCGUAUUGUACAUCACACACACACACACACACAAGACAUCCAAAUGCAUGUAGAUGAGAGUAAUCAGCUAGUUUUUCAGUCUAUAUUUCCAUUGGUGUCUUCAACUCAAUUGCUGUUAAUGAAGACCAAUUAACCACGUAAUAAAAAGUUUUGGUUGUUUAUGUCCAGAAUGAGUUGGGUAGACUAGUAGUCCUCAACAUAACUCUUAUUCUUUCUGUAAGAGUCUUAUUCAUCCGGUCUGUCACUUCAUUCUGCUGGGGAGUAUAUGCUACCGUGAACUGUCUUUGAAUACCUUAUUGCUAAUAGAAAACAAGAAACUCGCCGUCUAUAUACUCUCCACUAUUAUCUAUGCUUAAGCACUUUAUCACUUUAUCAGAAUAAACCAAGUCUGAAAUGCAUUUACUUAUGGUAACAAAUUUACUAAACUUCAAACUAUACUGCUUACUUGUAACACAAUGCUAAUGAACUGGUAAGUUCACCGAUUUGAGCCCCAUAAAUAACUUUCGCUCAGAGAGAAUCUUCAAAUCUUGUUCCGACAUGUGGCCAAGUUUUAAGUGCCACAUCAUCACUGAUUCUUCUUUAUUUGACGCGACACACGCAUCAACUUCCUGUAAUGUUUCCCUUUUAAGCAUGAAUAAAUUAGCUUCGAUCUUUUCCGCCUUCAAUAAUACAAGCGCGCCUCUAGCAAUCUUAAUUAUCUCAUUUUCAACAUGGAUUUUACACCCAAGCACAAGAAGGACACCAAAAAAUUACGUGAUUGGGUUUUUAGUCUAUGUUCACGAGCGAAAACAGAAAGAAAAUUUUUACUAGUGAAAUGAGGAUUACAAGUAUUGUAAUAUUUUUUUUGCUCACUACCCAGAACAUGAAUACACCAAUUCUCUCACUUACUAAUUACUUGAGAGCUUUAUAAUUUUUAUGCUCUUAAAAUUCUUAUGCUUUUAGCUCUCUCUCAAAAUGGGAUUGCUUCUUUUAAAUUUUUGGAUGCCGAAACCAAAUGAGGAGCUUCCUUUUAUAGCCAAAAUUGGCUAUUAAAGUAUUAUUUUUCUUGUUAAAUUUUACUGCAGCACCAUCAUUUUUCUUACAUUUAGGCUUCUUUUAAGCCGAAAUGUAAAAGCCGUGUGCCACCAAUUUUGCUUCUUUUAAGUUGUUGGAGCCCUCUUUGAUUUUUUUUUUUUUUUGUCCAAAAAGAGCUACUUCUAGAAUUUGGCAGCCACUUUUCUUGACAUAUGAUUUAUUGGCUAACUUCAACCCAUACCUUACAUCAUAAGGUCGUAGUUUAGAGUUGCUUUUUUAUUAUGUAAUUAUUCUUAAUUAACGUAUUGAGCUAUUUUUACUUAAAAUGUUGACAAUAACGAUAAAAAUGGUAAUUAACAAAUAUAGUUAUUUCUUCCAUAAAUAUUAAUAUGUUUUAUUUAAUGUGAAUAUUCAUAUUUUAUUUUAGUGUUUUACAAUUGAGUAUCCAUAAGAUGACUAUAAAUUGAGAGCAAAAUAAUUUCAUAUAAAUUAAUUAAGUACUCUUUAUAUUUCUUAAAGUAAAUACUUUAGCAGGCCAAUUAGAUACCAAGUAAUGAAACGAUAGAUUGGAGUUUGAAUUUUGUACCAUGCUUACUAUAUUGGUGUUGUUCUAAUGCAUAAGUUUGAUUAUAUCCUAAAUGUCGUGGCAUGCGAUAUGUUAUUUAUUGAGUAAUUAAUAAUUUUUGACAAUCUUUAAGUAAAUUGAUUGUAUUAUCCUACAAUCAAAUUGAUGAAUAUCAAAUCAUUUGAGAUGAAUUUUGGGAUGUGUAAAACUCCCAAUUUUAUCAUAUGAAUAUCAAAUCAAUUGAUGAAUAGCAAAACUCACCCCCCCCCCCCCCCNNNNNNNNNNNNNNNNNNNNNNNNNNNNNNNNNNNNNNNNNNNNNNNNNNNNNNNNNNNNNNNNNNNNNNNNNNNNNNNNNNNNNNNNNNNNNNNNNNNNNNNNNNNNNNNNNNNNNNNNNNNNNNNNNNNNNNNNNNNNNNNNNNNNNNNNNNNNNNNNNNNNNNNNNNNNNNNNNNNNNNNNNNNNNNNNNNNNNNNNNNNNNNNNNNNNNNNNNNNNNNNNNNNNNNNNNNNNNNNNNNNNNNNNNNNNNNNNNNNNNNNNNNNNNNNNNNNNNNNNNNNNNNNNNNNNNNNNNNNNNNNNNNNNNNNNNNNNNNNNNNNNNNNNNNNNNNNNNNNNNNNNNNNNNNNNNNNNNNNNNNNNNNNNNNNNNNNNNNNNNNNNNNNNNNNNNNNNNNNNNNNNNNNNNNNNNNNNNNNNNNNNNNNNNNNNNNNNNNNNNNNNNNNAAGGCGGAUGUACGGUACAGCAGCCCCAAUUUAUCACGUUGCCUAGAUUUUGAUAUUACAAAAGAUAAGCGGGCAAACAUUGCCUAGAUUUGGAGAUUACCAUAUGAUAAGUGAGCAGGCAAAAGGUGUUAAAAAAAAUAAAAGAUACAGUCAAAAGUAAGACCAAAACUCGAUAUUAAAAUUGAUUGUUUCUUCAAGUGAAAUUUCUAAGUGUAAAAUAUAAUUUAUGUCAAUAUAAAGUGCUGCUUAGGUGCGGGCAUAUGGAUGGAGCUAAAAAAAGAAAAAGAAAAACAUUAAUUUUUUAUUUUUAUUUUUUAGUAUAUUGGAGUUCAUAUUAUCUUUUCUCUUUUGACAAAUUGGACCCAACGGUGGAAUGGAUAGCGCACCAUAAAUGCACCCCCUGGAUCCGACCCGAACAAUUCUUUCCUGACUCCAAGAUCCGCAAGCUAUCUAAUCAAUAUACGAAACGCUAAUAACACAUGAUAGUAGACGAACGCACACAUUAAUACAUUAUCAUUAAUUUAUUAUUGAAUCUUGGAGCCGACCUAAGAAGAAUUACAAGAGUAAAAGACAAUGAAAAAGCUAAAAAAAUCAAUUUAAAAUUAAAUUAAAAGAAUACACUAACUGCAAAACCAAGAGAAGAGUAUAUAUAUGCCGGUCGUUUUUUUUUAUUAUUUUUUUUUAAGAAAAUAAUUUGUAAUAGAAUGAUUGAUACACUUAACUACAUGAUCUUGCUAUAGCCACAGCGUGGACUAGUAGACGUGUACAAAUAUGGACCACAAAAAACACUAUAUACAUAAUGAGAAGGAAAAAUCUGAUUUCAAUAGUUUUGGCGAUACAAUUACGUGCAUUUCUCCACGUCAUAUAUUUGAAAUACCUUUGGCUGUAAGUUUGAAUUUUGAGAAAUAUGCUUUACCGUGUGAUGAGAAAUUCACGAAUGUUGAUUCUGAUUUUCUUUCAUUGUUUUCUUAAUUUCUUCAGAUUUUGGGCUGUUUGGUUAGUGACAUAACCAAAUGAACAUGAGAGAUUAAAACAUACAUUUGAAGCGGCUUUGAUUAAUUAACUGUCUUGGUACGUAUUUGCAAUCGAAUGAAUUAAUAUCUGUAGAAUGGAAUAAAUGACAUCCUUGACCUUGAGUUCUAUUUACAUGAACAAAAUUUUGCUGAUAACGCAUAUUGUGACAUAAUAAAAAUUUAUAACAUUUAAAAACAAAAUGAAAAUGUAUGCAAUUGCAGCUAUUAUUCGCCAAUGAGUUAUUUAUUUAUGGGAAAUUAUCCACCGUCUACUCAUUUUUUUUAAUUUUUUCAAAUUUAUUGGAAUCCACCUGAAAUUACAUUUAUUUUCACUCGUCCACUUCCGUUUGGAGACCGUUAAGAAAACUAACGGAAUAUUGUAUAAAUGACUUUUUUACCAUCAAAUGUAAAAGAUAAUUUAUUCAUCGACCAUCUUUUUUGUAUUGUUUCUUUAUUUUUAUUUUUGAAAAAUUUGUAACCCACCCCCAAAUAAAUUGACAUUUUGCACCGCAUCCCCAACAAAUUUGACUUGUUGCACCACGCCCCCAAUUCCGUUAAUUUUUCAGUUAUUUCUAACGGCUCUGUCUAACUUUUGAUUGAAUGACAAAAAUGCCCCUCUAUGUAAAAAAACAAAAUUUUUAGCUCAUUUAAUUUAUUUAUGGAAAAUUAUCUACCGUCCACUUAUUUUUUUUAAUUUUUUUUAAAAUACACAAUUUUUUUUUUGUUGGAAUCCACCUGAAGUUACAUUUAUUUUUACUCGUCCACUUCCGUUUGGAGACCGUUAAAAAAACUAACGGAAUAUUGUAUAAAUGAUUUUUUUACCCUCAAAUGUAAAAGAUAAAUUAUCCACCGACCACCUUUUUUUUGUAUUGUUUCAAAAAAGACACAAUUCUUUAUUUUUAUUUUUUAUUGAACUCCACUUGAAGUUAUAUGAUUUUGCACUUGUCCACUAUUGUGUCGUUGUGAAAUGAUAAUUUUACCCUUAUGAUGUUAGCAAAGUUCUAACGGUGUCAUAACGAGAGUGGAUCAUGAAAAAAUGUUAACUUCAGGUGAUGCGCUGCAAAAAAAUAAAAAAUAAAAUAAGAUUUGUGUAUUUUUUAAAACGGUAAAAAUGCGGGUGGACGGUAGAUAAUUUUCCUUUAUUUAUAGUUGUUAUCUUUUAACCUAAGUAUUUGUUGAGGAGCCGAGGAAUCUUGUAAUAUAUUUUUGUACUUUCGAUUAAUUCAUGUUAGAUUAAACACCGAUCUUUAAUUUUCUCAUGUGAGAGCUCUCAAAUCUUAAUCCACUCAUCACUAGCUGAUCAUAUAUCUCGAUCUAAUUAGUAUAAGAGAAAAAAAGGAAAAAAAACAAGAGAGAGGGUGUGGCUAGGAAGAUAGAGCCAGCAGAAAUUAACUGCAUGCCAUAUGCUGCCUAAGUAAAGAACUCAUCGGGGUAAGUCAAAGUGAAAGAAUAGCAAACCUUUAUGACAUGUCUAUUAUGCUUUCUAUAUAUAUUUUUUUUUCCUUAUCACUGGUUACUUUGGUUUGAAAAAAAUAAAAAUAAAAGGGUUUAACUCUAGCUGGGUAAACGAACUCUCUGUAUGUCAUUGUCCUUAUCAUGCAUUAUUGCAAAUUUGCAACUAUAUAUUAAUAUCACUCGCUGAGAGCCUAACACUUAUUUCAUUGGUAAUUUUGUUUUGCUGGACGCCAAACUUAGAACAAUCUUUUUGUGACUUUUAAAUUUGAAACCAAAAUAUUCUCAAAAUCCAAAAACAUGAGCGGCUCUGCACCGCUAAACAACAAAGCUAUUGCCUGAUCUUGACAUGAACACGAAAGCAUCACUUUGCUGUUAAAAAAAAACAAAAAACAAAAAGGGAAUAUUUCCUUAGUCUGAUAAACCCCGAUUUGCAGUGCUCCAUUUACCUUUUGGUGCCAAUUGGCAUGUUUACAUACUUGUGUAACACUAAAGGGGAUGAUUGGAAUUGUCUGCAUUAGAAACACUGCUACAUUUUGGAUGGAUCAAAUCCCCUAUUGAUCCCAAAAUUUGCUUUAGCAAAUGUAGAUUAGUGUUAAAAAUGAAUUAUCUGAUAACACUUUCAAUGAUCUUCGUCCUUUUUUUUUGUCCCUUCUUGUAGUCUCUUCUUAUAUAUUAAAUCUACUUAAAAAAGUUGGGUUAAUUAUUGAUUGUCGACAUCAAAAUUUAAAACUGAAUUUUAGCCACUUAUUUAAUAAGGAGACAUUAAGAGAGGAACAAAAGUUAAAAAAAAUAAGGAGAGAAUAUCUUACCCUUCAUGUCACCCCCUAGAGUCCCAGACACUAAUCACUCCUUCACCAAUGGUAUCAAAAUUAAGAUGCAUUGCUGGGCCGAGUAAUAGAAUUUACUGCUUAUAAUGGGUUUGAGCCCAAUAAAAUGAGGCAGGCUCAUCUUUGGCAGUCAAUCUUGUUUAACGAAAGACCGCAGGCUGUGGACCGCAUUUCAGAAGCUCGCAUGGUCUCAUCGAUAUUGAACUCAAACUCAUUUUCUUCUGUCAGAACCCAACACGUGACGAAAUUUUAUCAUAAUUACUUGAUGUGAUGUCGCCAUUUUAUUAAAUGUGAACAACGGGUGAGACAAAUUGAACUGUGAAAUCAAAUAGGCUGAUGAGUGCUUGCGACGGUUAGUUCCUCUUGUCCUAUUGUUUUGAUAUUUGUGUAAUCUUAAUUUAAUAUUAAAAUAUUAAUAACUUUUAAUUUUAUUUUAAUAUUAUUAUCUUAUGCCAAACGAAUUUAUCUUAAUAUCCUCAUACCUUAAUAUUAUUUAUUUUUUGAAAUAGAAUAUUUUUUAAAUUAUAUUUUUUUAAAAAAAAGAAGGCCUAACUAGAGAUUGAAUUUCCGAUGAGGUUAAUGUAAAAUCCUCUGUUAAAUAAUCUAUCACUACCCUCAUUUCUGUAGGCUAGAAAAGAAAUUGAUGAAAAAAAAUGAAGAAAAUGUUGUAGUGGACAGGAGAAAAAGAAGAAAAACACUUGGAGAGAGGGAGAGGAUGAGGAUAUUAAGAUAAAUUCAUUUAGCAUAAAGAUAAUAAUAUUAAAAUAAAAUUAAAAGUUAUUAAUAUUUUAAUAUUAAAUUAAGAUUACACAAAUAUCAAAACCGUAGGAUACGUGGCGAGAGAAGAAGUUAGAAGAAGCUAUCGACUGUCGCUAGCACUCCUAUUGCAUCAGUAAAAUUUAGAAUGACGAGACACCAAUAAAAACUAAUUUCUUAAAGAUUCAUAUUAUUAAAAAAAAUUUCCCAUGGUGGUUUUUUGCAAUAUUAACUUAUUAAGGGUGCAAAAUUUUUUCAAUAUAUUUUAUGUUUUGUCUCUAGGGUUUGGUCAAUUGGGUUUUAAAUAAUUUUAUUUAAUUAGUCAUCUGAGUCAAAAUCGUGAAGGAGAUAAAUAUUAAAAAAUUGAUUUGAGUUUACCCAUCCCUUUAUUUUUUAAAAAUUAUAUAUAUAACUAAAUAAAAGGGAAAAAAGAAACUUAUUAAGCGUGCAAGAUAUUUUGCCUGAUUUCAUAAUUGAACGAUAGAUUAAGAAGUGGUGCUUUUAUAGUCUUAUUCAUUUUAGGUAAGGCACAUAAUUAAUUUCAAACUCGCAAAAAACUUCCUAAUUGAGCAACAAAAGUGAGUGCCAGAAACAAUUGUCUAACUUAGCUAAAACGAUUGGAUUUUUCUGUGGCUAGCUCUAAUGCUUAAAGCACCAAAAUCCCACUCUCUUUUAUUUGCAACCUAAGGGACGUGUAGUUUAAUUUAUUUAUACCAUAGUGGUCUCUCCACUUAUUGUCAUCUGUCUUCUCUUCUAUCAAUUUAUCAAACUUUAUCGUGUUUGUGACUUUGUGCUCUCUUUGUUAAAUUCUAUUAUCCAUUUGUUGCUCACUUCUGCAAAAACUGGCUUGAUCGCACUUGAAGCUACAAUUUAAAUGUCCCAUCAUAGUUUUUUAUUAUACUGUCUCAUAUUUUUCCAAUUGGUCAAAACAAACUCCAGAGUCUCAUAAGGCCCACUAUAUUAGUAGUAGUUUUUUAUUAUUUUAUUUAAAAAAAAAAGGAGAUUGUCAAUUUUCUCAUACUGUAAUUAGUAUAUACUAUUUAUUCCUUUGUUGUUUUUAUAAUAGUCAAGAAUCUCCUAACAGUAUAAGUUUACAAUAUUAUCUUAAUUUUUAAAUAUAUUUAUAUAUUUAUUAUAAAUUAAGUAAACCAUAUGAAUAGAAACUAAAUAAAAAAUUAAAAUAAAUUAAGUAAAUCAUAUGAAUAGAAACUAAAUAAAAAAAAUUUAAGUAUUAAAAACAAGAAAAAUAUGUUUGAUGUGAACGAAGAAUUAUACAAGAAAAAUAUUUUUAUUAUUAAAUUUUCACAUCAAAACAUAUAUUUCUCAUUUUUAAUACGUAAUUUUUUUAUUUUAAUUUUCAUUCAUAUGAUUUAUUUAAUCUAGAAUAAAUAUAAACAAAAUUUAUUUAAAAAUAAGAGUAAUAUUGUAAACUUAUACUGUCAGGAGAGUUAUUGGCUAUUAUAAAAACACAAGAGACAAAUAGUAUAUAUUAAUUUCAGUAGGAGAGAAAUUGACAAACUCUUUUUUUAAAAAAAAAAAAGAAGAAGAAGAAAAUAUCAUCUAACAGCACCAAAUUAUCUAAUUCCAAAACCAAAAUGUAUGCCCCUUCAACUCAUUCAAAGUCAAAAGGCUUCGAAAAUUUGCUAAGAUUUUAACCCACCAACCAUGGCAUUAGUGCUCAAUAUUAAACUUUUCUUACGGCAAGGAUUAGAAUGGUGUGCAGGUGAGGCAAUUAAAAUGGAGGAUAAAUUGAAAAGAAGCUGGUCGAAUCAAAUGGUGCCAUGUCGGGAUCAUAGACUCUCAAUUGCCCUUGUUCUAAAUAUAAGGCCUCAAAUGGAUCUUUAGAAAUUAACUGUGCUUUAAUGGAUAGUCAUGAUAUCCUCCACCCUUAAUGGUUCAUGAUAUCUUGUCAUCCCCGAAAAUGGAGGGAAGAGACAAAAAUAUUUGAAUUCGAUAUUGACAUGAAUUUUAUAGUGAUCUUUAUACAAGUUGUGAUUGGUAGCGAACAAGAAUAUAUUUUUAAUUGAAUCUUAUUUGUACCAUAAACAUUAUGUGCCACAACACUUUAAAAAGAUGAGCACUAGAUUCAAUCAAAAAAUUAAAUCAUAAUUUUAUUCGUAAUUGGUGUUAGGUUCCUAACAUAAGUCAAUUGUCAAAUUUUCCUUGAAAUUAAAAAGAAAUAGGAAAAAAAUCAGUCAACAAUAAGUCAAACGGGAAGCCAAGUAAUCAUAAGAGGAGCACGUGCCUCUCCAAGAGACUGUCCAUCUCUAAUGGCCAACUGACUAAUUUAAGCGAAAAUAUUAAAGAAAAGGACAAGUCUGAAGUGAAAACUAUUAAUGAAUGAAACGGAGAAAAUAAAUUUCAAUGAGUGCAAAUAUUCAAUUUUUACAAGUGUUAGAAAUAAAAAAAGAAAAUAACGUAGUUAACAUAAUCUGGAAAUAACAAUUAACAAAUAGAGAUGAAGUAAAUUAUUAACUUAUUUUGUUGAUUGAUAAUGAGCAUUUUUUAAUCAAUAAUUAGGAUAGAGAAAAUCAAUCAUUUUGAUUUAUUGUUUUAUUUUUAAUCUUUUUUAUUUUUCAUUAUUGUUUGAUUCUGCCUCCUCCUCCCUGAAGCGCUAGCCAGGGAAACUUUGAUAGUUUCUAAAUAACGAAGGAUUUGACACCGUAACACUGGAGUUUGAGAUUUGUAUUCAAGAUUUUAUAUUAUUAGCACUUGGGACUUGGGAGUGCGUAGAAAUGAAAGAAGCAUUGAGAAAGAUUUAGUUAUGGAAGAUUCAAGAGCCGGUGAUGGUGAUGCUAUAAACAAGUUCCUCACUUUUAUGUAUCAGUAUGAUAGCCACACAAAAGCAGUAACACAUUUUAACUUUUAAUUUCCUUAUUCCAUCAUUGCAUGCAAGUUAAUUUAUGCAACACUAACCACAAAUUCACAUGGUUUUAAUGCAGUAGAAUAUUUGGCGAACGAAAAAAAUGGUAUAGUGAUAGCGCCGCGCACUUAUUCCUGACCAAAAGCGAAGACUCAGCAGAAAUUGUUAAACAUAAACAUAAUGAUAAUGGUUCAGGAAUUUGAUGGCGGUGGUCGAUUGGAAGCUGUGGACCCUCCCUAUUAGCUUGCCUUGAUUAUUCUAAUGGAGCUCUGCUCCGGCACUGUGGGAUCCAGUGGCAGUGGAUGAAUCGUCGUCAUCCACUGCACGACAGAUAAUUUGAUGUGAUAGAAGCGGGACCCAACAAGAAAGGCCAAUCAGAAUUGCGCAUACGAAAUUAAAAACUAGAUGGCAAGGACAAACAAAUGCGUACGGACGACUUCCGUGGCACGGAUUUUUGAGAUAUUUUAUUGGAGGAUAGAUAGAUAGAUAGAUAGAUAGAUAGAUAGAUACACGGAUUCCAGAAGCGUAAGCUACUGCUGAUCGUGGCUUUUUAGGUAUGUUUGGUUAUUGCUUAGACACGCCUUUCGUCAUCAUCAAAUCAAUAGCUUUCUGAUAUCCGCAGUACGUGUGUAUAUCACCGUUAAGGCAGCUUCCGCGAACGACAAUGUUGGUGAAAUCAACGGUCCAGAUAAACGAACAAACAUAACCACAUCAUUUUCUUUUGGACUCCUACCUCUAGGAAGAUUUAAAUAUGGAAAAUGCUACUUUUUCCGAGACAAACCUCGGGUCAAACUUUGAAUUAAAUCAAAAUCACUCCAUUUUGAUUUUAUUUUUUUUUGCUUGAAACGUAGUCGUUUCAGCUUAGUGAAAACAAAAAAAAAUGCAGCUGUUUUUCUUCCUCUUCCUCUUCGAUUCCUUUUUGCUUCCAUGAAACGUAGUCGUUUCAGCCUAGUGAAAGCAAACCUAGGUUUAUGCAUUUUCUUCUAAAUCUGAAGCCCUAUAAGUUCGUUUGUAGUUUGUAUUGGAGCUGUAAAAUGCAGAGCAAUUGCAAGACAAAUUAUAGACCAGUUCAACAUAAAUUGCAGACUAAUUCAGCACAAAUUGCAGAAGUCACUUGCACAACAAUUCAUCACAAAAUGCAGAGCAAUUGAAAACAAAAUGCAGACAAAUCUGUACACAGUUUCUGGACCAAAAUCUCAUUUUCAUCAUCAUUCAUCCUCAACACUAGGCAUUAAGCACCCAAAUCAAGUGUGGAAAGGAAAAAUGAAUAUCAAUUGCAAUUUAACACACUUAUUUUCUUAACAUUUUAUUUCAACCGAAAAUUAAAUAAAAUGGAAAUGACAAUAGCUAUCAAAAUUCAGCACUUGCAAAGCAAUUAAAUUUAGCACUUGCAGAGCAAUUAUAUUAAGCACUUGCACUAGAUCAACCAAAUUGCAGCACUAAAGAUCGAAGACGUUUGGGUUUGUUUUGCCUGGGUCAAACGGCAACGUUUGCUUUCGGUUGAUUGAAACGGCUGGUGAAACGAAGAGGAGAGGAAGACGAAAACGAAGACAUUUGCUUUUGUUUGGCUGAAACGACUACGUUUUAUGGAAGUAAAAAGGAAAAAAAAAAAGAAACCAAAACGGCGUCAUUUUAGUUUAAUUUGAGGUUUGACCCAGGAUAAAUAGCAAAACUCUUUAAAUAUUCGAUGUUGAUGUGCAUAAAAUAUUAUUUUUAAGUAGAAAGAGAAAAUUGAUCGAUCAAGUUACGUAUCCCACCAAAUUCUACAGCAAAAACCUAAUAUCUUUUUUUAGUGCAGCCUCAAAGCUCGGAAGUUGGAAAUGACCAGAGACCUUAAUACAUAGAAUAUGUACAACGUAUUCAAAUUCUUCAUUAAUAUUUGAUUAAUUACUUACUUUUUGGGUAUUUAUUUGUUAAUUUAAUUUAAUAAAUUCAUUGCUGCUGGCUUCUUUGGUAAUUGGUAUUGUAGAUUUUAGAGAGAAUGCAAAUGAACUUGUGGGUUUCGCGUCAACGGGGCUUUGGUCAAUGUCACUUGAGCACAGUGAUCAUGACGUGCACUGAAAAUAAAAUAAAGUAUAAUGCACUAACAAAUUAAGGAGUGUCAUAAACCAAAUAAAUACAAUUCGAUUGGUGCAUCUGGAUGCAUAUUAAUUAAAUUAUCGUUUCUAGUUAUAAAAUUCUUCUCCUUGCUUUUUCUUUUCUUUUUUUUUCCUCCUUUGAAUUUCAAAACGCAUGCUUGUGAUCCACCACCAAAAACCGCGUGGUAGUUAAUUUGCCUUUUAAGUUAGUGCUUGGAAAUUACGUGAAUGGUACAAUUUUCGUACACUACAAAAGCAACAAAUCAUCCACCCUAAUAUAUAAAGUGACUUCCACAUAAUGAAUUUCAAAAUCUGCAUUGCCUAUGACUAUGAGCUAUGACUUCAUUGGUGUUUGGACAUUUAUAUAUUAGGGUUGACAUGUUUCUAUUGAGCCGACGUAUAUUUAUGUUCUCAAAAAUCAAUUGGGGCAGAAGCAUGCUUACCACCUACAGCGAUUUAUUUUUCAGGCCAGGCUUGGGGAUGAUGAAUUUUGAGUUGGUACAGCCCUUAUAAUUUGUGAUAAUAUGAUUUCCUCUCCACAAGCACGCAGGGUCUAUCCUGGUUGGACCGAGAUUGAACCAAUUUUUCUGUUCUCAAAUUAGCCAGGAUCGAGCUUCCAAUUUUUCUCAAUUUGUUAUUCUGGAUGAUUUUAUUUUUCGAUCUUCAUCUUCUCAUUGUUUUUGUGAAGAUCAGCGUUUUGAUGAUAGUUUUCUUAGAAUUGUCUAUAUAUAUAUAGACAAUUAAGAAAUUAUAUAAAAUGCACAAUAGAAAACGAAAAUGGAGCACAUGAUUUUUUUUUAGAAAAUAAAAAUGUACGCAGGAAAAAAAUGUGCGUAUAUGUAUAUGUACAUAUACAAUUAAAGUUUAAGUAAGAAAUGACCAAAAAAGGUUCAAAUGAAGGUAAAUUUGCCUUUAAAUUAAUGAUGACGUUAGAUAUCUAUUUAACAGAAUUAAAAAACAAUAGGGACAUGCUAAUUAUAUGCAUUAACUAAGUCAUUGGAACACAAUGGUUUGUAUUUGGUUCCUAAAGGGGCACUCGACUCCGACCGAUUGUGUUGUAAUGAGUUAUUUAAACCUACCAAAUACUCAAUAAUCGUAAUAUCGUUUGGUCAAGAAGAGAAUUCCAUCCUGCCUAUUUUCUUUAGAUACAAAAAAUGAAAGGAAUAAUUUCAAAGAACAAUUUUGAGUUAGGUAUGAGAAGAAUAAAAGUAAAGAUAAAGACAAGUAAAAUCAGUGGACUUUUAAGAUCGAUUAUCGAUCAAUAUUAAGAUUACUUGAAUCAAUCAAAUUCUUAGACAUUAUAAUGGCAGUAUUUAAUUUCCUUUUCAUAUUUUCAAUUCUAUAUAAUUGAGCCCUUAUGCUUAACUGCUUAUGAUGAAUAAGAGUGAAAUUUAUAUUCUUCACAUGAAAAUAAAUUUCAAGUAUUUAAUUAUUACAGAAAUAUAGUCAAUAUAAUCACGUAGCAGACAAUAUAAAGUGGCAUAGACCUCAACAUCCUCCACUAUGGAUAAGUGGACUCAUUUUCCAUUUAAUCAUCACUAAACUAUGCAGUUUCAAUCCAGUUAGUCUUGUAAAAUAUACUCCACUUACACAGUUAUUUUCAACACUCAACUCGUUUUCAGACCAGUUUAAUUUGAAGUAACAAUUAAUACAUAAAUGGGAGCAGCAAAUUAUAUAUAGCCGAAAACUGUAAUUAUGUAAUCCCUCCAAUUAUUAGCCACAAAAUUCAUAUAUGUAUAGAAGAAUAAUAUAGAUAGAACGGUCUUCAAGCACAUGAUUGCAUGACACCCUAGCAUGUAUACUAAAACAAUCGCUAAGCUUUCUGAAAAUUAGAGUUAAUUCCUGAGUCAAGGCACGGUCUCUUAUAAGGGCUAUGUAACUUGCUAAUUGUUGCAUGAAUUAAGGCCAAUUAUAUUAGAGGCGAAGAUACGAAGAAUUAGCUAGUCAUACCAAUUUAUUUAAAGAGCCAUUCUCAGCUUACUGUAGAUGUCUAGUGAUCGGUUGUCAUACUUGGAUGGGAAAAGACCAUUGUCUAUAUCAGGAGGCACACUCAUGCCAUGCAAGCGUGUUCCACUAGAGCCACUUCAUCAAUAGUCGUCUCGAUCACAAAAUUAAAUUAAAAUAAAAAAUUUUAUUAUGCAACAUAAAAAUUGCACAAGCAAACACCUGGUACUUCGUCUUCCAUUACUUUACGCCAAUUCGGUAAUUAUAAGUGCAAAAGGUCUAUGUCCACUUUAGACAUCAACGCAAUUACUACAACAUUCUCAUGGGAUGAUUAUAUAUAUAGGUUAGCCCUCAGCCUAACUUCUCAAGAAGAAAGUGAAAUUUAGCUCAAAGCAAACGGAAAAGAGUAGAGAGAUCUUUUUUUUUUUUUUUUUUUUUUCUUAUAAUAUACCGAUAUGGGUUCGACUGUGAUUGCUAUUCCCGAUAGAGAGGAUGUGGCUCCUAAAGAGAAGAAGAAAUUUCGAGACUUUUUUCUUCCUAUUAUUAGCUUUGUUAGAGAAGUAGACAGCAAAUAUGACUUGAGAAAAUUGAUUCAUAGUAUCAAAGUUGGAGUUGCUCUUGUUUCGGUUUCUCUUCUCUAUCUGGUUGAUCCUCUCUAUAAGCAAGUUGGUGAAAAUGCCAUGUGGGCUAUAAUGACCGUCGUGGUCAUCUUUGAGUUCUAUGCAGGUUUGUUUAAGUUACACAUUCGUUUUAUGAGGGAAUUUAAAUAUUAGUGCUGAUCCGAGCUCUGCAUGCGCUAAUCUCUUAAUCAAUAUUUCAAAUUUGUUUUAUAAUACACUAUAGGUGCUACACUUAGCAAAGGCUUAAAUCGAGGAAUCGGAACUAUAUUAGGAGGUGGAUUGGGGUGCUUAGCAGCAGCUUUUGCUCAAGAUGUUGGUGGGAUUGGCAACAGCAUUGUCGUUGGCAUUUCUGUUUUCAUAAGUGGUAAAUAUUAUUCCUAUAAUCUUUACACACAUAAUUAACCGAGGCCCAACAGCAUCUAAUUAACUUAAUUUAUAUAACACGUGCAAAUUAAUUAUGAUUGUUAUAUUUCAGGUGCAGCAGCAACGUAUAUGCGAUUGGUUCCGAGAAUAAAGAAAAGAUAUGAGUACGGAACCAUGAUAUUUAUCCUCACUUUCAAUCUGGUGGUGGUAUCCGGCUUGCGAGCUGAAGAGGUCAUGCAAUUAGCCCGCGAACGUCUCACAACAAUUGUUAUGGGUUUUGUUAUCUGCAUUUUCAUCAGUUUACUUGUUUUCCCCAUAUGGGCUGGUGAUGAACUUCAUGACUCUUUAACCUCAAAAUUCGAACACCUCGCUCGCUCCAUUGAAGGUAUGUAAAUUUCUUCGAUAAUAAUCAGUCAAAAAGAGAUCCAGCUUAAUAUUCAAUCAAAAAUAUUGAUUUGUGGAAUAUUAUAAGUUAAUUAUAAUUGAAAGGGUUACUAUAUAUAAUUAAUAAUUCAAGAAGUUAUUUGUUGUAGGAUGCUUGGAGGAGUACUUCAAAGUUGACACCGAGAAAGAAAACCGGCCCGGUUUUAGUUUAAGCUCUUGUAAGUCAGUACUCCAUUCAAAGGCAAAGGAUGAAUCACUGGUAAAUUAACUAUUCUUUUCACCCACUUCAUUGCUACUCCUUAAAAACCCACUAUAAUUCAUUAUUAAUAAACUUUAAGCCACUUUUGCGUACAUUUGGAUAUCAAAACCAACUCCAUGAUUAUUAAAAAGCUAUCAUGCAUUUCUCAGGCAAAUUUUGCGAGAUGGGAACCCUGGCAUGGGAAAUUUAGAUUGUCUUACCCUUGGAAGAAAUAUCUAAAAAUCGGAGAGGUUCUUCGUGAUAUGGCUGCAAAUGUUCUUUCCGUUAAAGGCUGUCUUCAAUCUCCUAGACAGGUAUUAUUAUUAUUAUUAUUAUUAUUAUUAUUAUUUGUUAGGUUAGGUACUGCUUAGUCCUAUAUUUUAAAAAAUAUUUAAAGCAUCUUUGUUAUUAUUUCUGUUACACCUUUGCACUUAUUUUUUAUUACUUUUACAAUGAUUCUUUUAUAACAAUCUUAGGACAUAAAUAAAAAGAAAAAAUAUUUGUUUACCAAAUUAACUUUAAAAAAAAGUUAUAUAAACUUUUAUUUUACUUUUAGGGUCAAUUUGGUAAAUUAAUAAUUUUCUUUUUUAAUAUGCCUCUAUAAUUGUUGUAUGGAUAUUAUUACAAAAAUAAAGAAAAAAUAAGGUCGAAGUGUACAACAAGAGUAUUUUGGGAUAUGUUUGAAAUAUAAGAUACUAAAUAAGCAUUUAUUCCUUUAUUUAUUUAUUUUUUUCAUAACCAAAUGUCACAAGUUCAUUAAUUUAUUUUUGUACGUACCAUUGCAUGUCGUCAGUCUUUACAAAACCUGAGAGCAUCAAUCAAAGAACCGUGUGAAAUAGUAGGGUCAUCACUUGCAUGGGCACUAAGAGAGCUUGGGGAGAGCAUCAAGAAAAUGAAUAAAUGUGAGACAGCGGGUUUGAUAAUGCCAAAGCUGAAGUCAAUCAGACACGAACUAAACCUAAUCAUUACUCCAUCUGCACUAGCAAGCGUGGAGAAGAGUACUGAUGCCCUCGAACUUGCAAGCUUUGUAUUUUCGUUGAUGGAGAUGGUUGAUAAAGUGGAAGAAUUGACUAAGGAGGUUGAAGAACUUGGAGGCCUUGCUGGCUUUCAUGCUAACAGUAAAUAGCGAGUUUUGCUAAGAUAUAUAUAUAUAUAGCAUAUAUAUUUUAUAUAUGUAUAGAUUCAAGAGAAGCAUAUGCCAAUUUUUGGCUCCUUUGAAACGUAGAUACAUGUAUGUUUCAAGAAAGUAAAAGUUUCUUGGGAUGAAUGUUGAACUUAAAAAUGUGAUGGUAUGUAAUGUAUUGAAACAAAUGGAAAAAAUAUGUCCUCAAUUGAAAAAUAUUGAAAAUUUAUUGCAUCCCGUAAAUAUAAAUAUAUUAGCAAUGAUUGAACAGUCGAAGCCUCCAAGCACCACGUACAAUAAUUAGAAAGCAACCUCUUUAAGAAAAAUAAACAAAUAGCCUUUAAACGACUUCUUGUCCAAUUGAAAUUAAGAGAUAUUACAUGGAAUAAUAACUCUGAGGCCAAGAAAAACAAUAUUAAAUUGACAACAGAACAAGAAAAUUAUGUAGACUGAGUCAAAUGACCAUUUCGAUCCACCAAUAUCCUAUUGCAAAGCAAAGAGUAAUGCUUAGUUUUGCCCCUCAAUUCAGAUGCAAAGCAGCUACAUAAAAUAAAACCAUUUGCUGCUAGAAGGGUGACUUCUAGUACUUACAUAAUCGGAAUUAUCAUCCAUAGCUGAUGAUGCAGAAAUAUAAAAGAUUGGUAAAUAAGAGAAGCCAAAUUUUUUAGUAAUAAAUAUUUUAUUGAAAAUUUUUUAAAUGAAUAAAAUUAGAGUUUUGAAUCCUUUUUAUACUAAAUUUAUCAAAGUAGGCAAAUUUAAACUAUUAUUUUAUAGUAAUAUUCUUCUAAUCUAAAUAAGAAAGACAAAAUAAAAGGAACCCAAAUCCGAAAUCUAAAACAAAAAUAAAAAUCCUGUAAAGUUAUAUGAAAAUAAGAAAAUAACUAAAAACUGCAAGGUGACCAGUAAAUGAAUGGAAUUUCCAACUCGACCAUAGGACAAAAUAGAAUAAGCAUUUAUGGGUUUGAUAUGUCUCUCCAAGUUUCGAAACAGUACAUUAGACGUCCAAAAUGGACAAAAUUCUACUUCCUAAAAGUACCAUGAUCAUCAAAGACUACCAUCCUAAAUAAAUUGUGACUCUAAAUUUAUAUAUAUAUAUAUAUUAAAAAAAAUCACAGAUUUAAAACUAUAAAUUAAAAUUUUUAUCUAAUUAUUUCUAUUUUAUAAAAUAUGCUCUUUGAUAGACUCCAAUCACUUUCUAUUUUAUACCUAGCUUAUGACUCAAAAUACAUGAAGCAAUGAUACAGACGUUUCACAUGCUUUACAUGAAGAGAAACCAUAGUAGUUUUCAAAAGAACAGCUACCUAAUUUGUUCCAUAUGAAUUUAAUUUAACAACUACAAACAAUAGAACAGGAACAUUUCAACAAAAGACAAAUAACUAAAGACAAAUCACAAAAAGCAUACUUGAAACUUAUGUUUGAUGGAAAAACCAAAGCCAAAAAUCUGCAUAAAAGUCAACACAAACUUCAUUUCUAUCUAAAACAUAGAAAAGAGAUGGAUUUGCUUAAAAAAUUAGCAGUGAUUAUGGUUGGAAUGUUGUUUAUAUUCUGCAGAACUGUUACGAGUGUUCCCAAUACAACCGUGACAAACGUUCUCUGCAACUCGGGAGAGUACACACACGGAGAUCCUUUCGCCAUAAGUUUAGCUUAUGUUCUUGCAGAUUUGGAGACUGUAACAUCAGCAAGCAAAGAUUAUGAUUACUACAACAUAUCACCUUAUCCUAAUGCAUUUGCCUAUGGUCAUGCUGCUUGUAACAAAAAUCUAACAAGUCCAGAUUGCACUUCCUGUCUUGGUGCGGCCAAAACAGCAAUGCUUGGUUCCUGUCCAAGCAGGAUAGGAUCUCGUUCAGUGCUCCACGAUUGUAAAAUUAGGUAUGAGCAAUAUCCCUUUGAGGAUUAAAAGGCCUACUGCUUAAUCGAUCUCAAGUCUUAAUAGAUCUGCACUUUUAUCUUGUAAGUUUGUGGCUUUAGCACAAAGUGUGUGCAAAUAUACAAACUUAUCUUUUUUAAGUGAAACGAUUCCUGUUUUUGUUUAGACGCCACCUCGUCUUUGCUCUUUCCUUGUUUUAUCCAAUUACAGAUACAUGAAGGUCUCAGUACAUUAAUUGGUGGUUCCACAAUUCUGAAUUAUGAUCCACUACGUGUUAAAUCAAAGCAACUUUGGAUUAACGGGCUAAUUCUCACAAUGUAAAAGGAACACGUGUUCUAAUCAGAGCAUAUGUAAAAGGAUUAAGAAUGUUGUUUCCGUAAGGUGAAUCUUGAUCUUUUCGCUGUUAGUUGUCCAUGUCUUCUUAAUACAUCUCUAUCCAAUUCCAUUUUUAAGUGUGCGGGUUGUGUCUAUGCUUCAAUUAAAAUUGACCCCGCAUGACUGAUAAUCCAUCAACCCACAAGACGCUAUGCGUGGGUGACUUGCAGGGCACUCUGUUCGUUUAGUGCUGAGACCAUUUAUUUUUCAAUUUUGCUUGAUUGGCAUAUAAAAUGUUUCUCCAUUUGGGUUGGGAAAAUGUAUCAUCCUCUAUUUGCUAAACAUUCAGCAAAUCUUGGAACAGAGAUGCGACCUGUAGAGCACUAACUUUUUUGGGCAUCUUUGUUACCACACCAUUAAUUGACAUGAACAAUGUUUCUAUCUAAUUUGAGGAUAAACAUAUCCAUUUGGUCAUCUUCCCUAGCAUUUCAGAAAAUAACUUGCAAAUUAUCAACAUUUUUGCGUUUAUAGAAUUGUGUAUCUUAACCAACAUAGAAUUUAUUGAUUCGAAGAUUGCUCUAUCUUAUGAUAUUUUAUUUUGUAAUCACUAAUAAUAAUAUUACGGAGUAAAAGAUGUAUCGAGUCCGGAGUCUUCACAGCUAUAUUUCGAGUAAUAAACUGAAAAUGAGAGUUUGUACAACUGUUUGUGAAAAUGUCACAGAGAAAUAGAACAAAGCCUCUGUUUCAGGGCUUCAUAUCUGAAAGAGUAAUUAAUUACCGAUUCUUCUUCGAGCGAGUAGACUCUCGCUUGAGAAAAAGCGCGUAAAAAAGCUCAUUCUAGGAAUCGGGGACACCAGGCAAGCACCGGUGGCUGCAACCUUGAAUAAGGAUAAGCCUUGGGCCACCAUCAGGAUUCCGGUUGUACAAAGAUGCAGACCCGUCUUUUCUCCGAGCUGUCAUGCUUGUAACAUUCAGCAAAUCCAAAUUCUUCGCCGUUAACUCAUUUAAACGAUUUUGAAAACACAUCAGAGAACUCCAAAUGAAUUGGAAUCCUUUUCUUGUCAAAACCAAAAGUGAAAUCUAGUUUGAUUUGAAUUAAAGUGGCAUUUAUAGAAUGAAUUGAUUGAGAAUGUAAUCAUAAUUUUUUAAAUAACAAAAGAGCACACAUUAUAUACGAAAUGAAGUUCAGCUUGCAUUUUACAGCGAAUGGUGAUAUGUUGUUUGACACCUAAGAGAAGAAUUUUCAACAAUUGACAAAUAUAAUCCAGACACUUAAUGAUGUUGAACUAAGAUUUAAAAAAAAAAAAAAGAUUCUAUCGAGUAUCCAGAAUUUUCCAUGUACAUAAAAAUUCAGUGACCAUAUCAAGGACUCUCAAACGUCCUUCAAAUUUUUUUUUUUCUUUUUCCCCAAAAAUUUACACAUAAUGGGAGCAGUAGUGUGACCAUAUCUCUCCACCAUCGACUUUACAUCUGCCUGUAAACUAGCUGUAAACAAACCCUUACUACGGUGAUGGUCUGUUUCUGAUAAAUGCAUGUGAAUUCACCGAAAUCUGGGAUUCGCAGCAAAUAUUGUUUUGCUGCAAAACCCUACAAAUUUGGAGCGGAACCUGAAAGGCCGAGUGGAUGAACAAGAGACAUCAAUUAGAGAGAAGCCAUCACCAUCACUCAUCAGCCUUAUAAAAGUUAAUUUUGCCCUUUGGAUUCGAAGAAUAUGAGCCAUUUUCUUGUAAAUUUAACAUUAGAGCGGCGCCUGAGGAUGUUCGACUGAAUUUUGUGCAUGGGAAGUCUCCUGCUUGAGAAAAAGUGCAUAAAGAAGCUCAUUCCACGAAUCAGGAAUGCCAGGCAAGCACCAGUGGCUGCAAUCUUGUCGGUGGAGUGGUGCUGGACCUCUCUUGGGGCCUAAAAGGUAAACAGAAGAAUGGCCAUCUUUCCUACGGGAUGUCAUGUCUGUGACAUUCAACAAACCCAAGUUCAUAGCUUGUGACUCAUUCCUGUGCUUCAAUAAUGCAUUGGCUACUAUUUUGAAAUGAAUUCCAGGUGGAGCAGGUAAUGGGCCCAAGUCAGGGAGCUUUUCCAGGUGACAGGAACCACCAGAAUUCCAAUUCCCAUUUCUGUAACAUCUAACUAAUAUUUUUAAUGAUCAAUCAUGGUUUCACAUAAUAUAGCAGAGUUGGUGCCCAGUCUUAACUAAUAAUAAGUAAUUAACCAUCUAACAUACAUACACACUGCAGAGGUCAUAACCGACACUCCAUUCAUUUUCCCUUGUGAGGUGAUUAAAUUUGGAUUUCUAGAACCUUACUAGGCAAAUCUUUAAAGGUUGUAUUAUUGUUAACAGCUUAUAUAUAAUCUGAUGUUUCCAGCUAAAUAAAUAAAUAAAUAAAUAAAAUUAUUCCAGAAAAUGUUCAGAACCUCUUGAUUUAAUUUAAAUGGUAAAGAAGAAAACUGAAACAGUAUUGCCUCAUUGUUAUAUUGUCUACUUCAAGGCAUUGUGUUUAGAAGAAAGAUGAUAUCAUGUGCUGAUGAUAAAAGCAGUGUAAAUGCCAGGAUAUGCAUAAAUAAAAUCAUGAAGGAGCUUUAAAGCUCAAUGAGACAAUAAGGAAAACUUAUUUUGGACAUUUUGGACAAAAGGAAAAGAAGAGAGUUGAGCUGAACCUGAAGUGCACAGGAGCAUAGGUCCGAAAGAGAACUUGGGUCUUGUCCAUAUUAACCUGACUGCCAAUCCAAUGAAUCAAUGUCUCAAUUGCUUUCUGGAAUGCAGUUUCAACACUCAUCUUCUUCUUUAGCUCCCCCCUUUCUUCAAAAUAACAACCCCUAAACAACAGGAAUCCAAAGAUCAGGCAUCAUAUUAUACAUAGAAAAAUGGUAGGUCUCCCAUCAAUAUAUUCUAAGAAAUUACUGAACUAAGCAGCAUUCAGUUUGUCACAUGCGAGGGAUGCACAAGAAAACAUAAGCAGUAUUAUUUGCAGUAUUCACACCCUGAUAACAUUUUCAUAUUGUGAGUUGCUUAAAAGUAAUUCUUUCAAAUGAGUUAUCAAGGAAAAUUUGCCAGAUAGAAGCCAGAGAAAGUGACCUUAAGGUGUUCUGUACAUGAUCAAGAUAAAACAAGCAUAUAUUUUGCGCCAUGUGUAAUAUAUUGGCAAUUAAGAUAUAUCUUUUCUAUUCCCACCACAAAUAGUCAUCGUCAUAAUAUAACUCCUUAAAAAAAAUCCUAGAUAGCAUAAUGUUAAUACUAAGGAUCCUAUCAUGAACUUAAGAUUAAUUUGCAGCUCAAAUAUUCAUCAGUAAAAAAUGUGAAACAUAUGUUCUCCUCCCCCAACGCUCAACGUUCACCUUUAGCUUUCUAACUACCAGAAAAGCUACUAAUAAGAAUUCUACAUUUGAUGGUGAGGAAACUAUGAAUAUCCAUAUGUCAAUAUGUAUAAGACAAACCAGCUCUCACGAAAGGAAAAGAAAAGGAAAAAAACAGAAAGCCGUAAUAUAGAUAAUGCAUACUCUCUUAUAGUCUUCUCAAAAUUCCACCAGUGCCCUGUGUUAAAAAUCAGUACGUCUGCAUCUCUCCAUUUACGAGAACUCCAGUCCAAUUGAUCCACUUUCAAAGUCAGCCUCACCUCUUUUGGAGCCUUGGCUGGAGGUCGGCUCUGAACCACUAAAAAUGGAGACCUGUAGUAUUCAACUGUGCAAUUAUAGUCCUUGAACAAGAAAACCAAAGAACCUUUGUGCUUCGUGAUCGGUUCCCCAUUCACCUCAUAAAUUGAAGACUUGUUGGUAACAGCAGAGGCUAGCAUGCAAAGUAGGGACUCCCAUUGGUUCCUUCCAAUUGAGUCACCAACAAAUGCAAGCCUCCUGUUUCGUAGCUUUUGCAGCAUAUUCCUUGCAUCAAAUCUGUUCUCAACACAAAAGGAAGACAAUCAAAUUGGAUGCAAGUUCAUAACACAAGCACAGUUCUACACAUUAGGAGUAGUGAAGGCUAAAAGUUUCGUGCAAUGUGUCAAUACAGGGGAGACGCUCAAACUGCAAUAUUCCAAAUCAAUUCAAUAGAAAUCGAAAUAUGCAUCAAUCAGCAUAAAGGAGAACAGCAUUCAAAGAAAUAAACCCAGCAAGAGUGCUUAACAUAGCUGCAAAAAUCACUCUAUUAUUAAAAUGGUAACAGAAUUCUUCAAGAACUUGCAUAAUCAUAAGUCCGAAUUAUAUGGCACAUGUACAAAAUAACAUUUCCAUAAAGGGCAGAAAUUGACUCGUACACUUUCCCAGCAACCAACAGAAACCAAACAUACAACGACAAAAGAUAAACAAACCUGGGCAAGUUACAGGCUUUAGGUUGCCAACGCCACUUGGUGUAAAAAUUAUCAGGCCUGCCAUUCUCUAAACAACGAAACCCUUCAUCGAGGAACAAACAAUCUGAGCUCCGAUACAGUGGAUAGUUAUCAUCCCAAACCCAGUUACCAUCAAACACAUCACAGAGCCCAGCACCUUCAUCGAGAAAUCCUGGCCGUUCAUUCACACCCAAACCCAAUGGUUCUUCUGCUGCUGCUGCUGCUGAUGAUGAUGAUGAUGAAGGAGAAGAAGAAAAUGGGACAGCUAGUCCAAGCCAAGAAGGAUCAUGAUAAUGCAAGCGUCGAGUAACAGUCCGGUAAUCCAGGUAAAAGAAACAGCCAAUGAAUAUAGCAGCCACCAAGAUGAAACCAAGAAUCCCCAAAGAAGGCUCAAGAGGGUUCAAGCGCUUGAAUUUCUUCCAGAAAUCCAAGUGGGUCAUUGUGUCUGAUUCCUGUGCUACUGGACUUGUGUUCUUUCUCAUUUUUUCAAAAAAAUAAAAUAUAUUUUUGAUAAUUGAAAGGGUAGAAAAAAAACUCCUUCAUUCAAAGUUCGAAUAAAAGGUAAGAAGAGAAUAGAGAAAAUGCCAUGUGGGGACUAAAAAGCCAAAAAGAAAGAAAGAAAGAAAGAAAGAAAGCAUUAAUGGCCAGAGCUAAUGUAAGUUAAGCUAAUAAAAAAAUUAAAAGUAAAAUAAUUUAUAAGUUCUGAUUUUUCUAGUUGGCUGAGAAAGAAAGAAAGAAAGUUAUUUGUUAAUCAGUCACAUUCGAGCAUGAAAUGCAUUUAGUCAUUCUUAAAUCUUAAUUGCCUUUUGACACUCGACACGGAGAGACAAUGGUUGCAAGCACUGCUGGUUUUGACAAUAUGAAUUCUUUUGGGUGAUAAUUCUGAGAAAGGAAGUAAUUAUUAAAGCGAAUUGAUUACAAAUGUGAAUUUGAAUGGGAAUGUGCUUGUUACUGUUAGUCGUGCGGUCAUGGGAUGAGAAAAUGGAGGCCCCGACAAAUAUACUGCAGUCAGACAAAAGUAGGGCACGAAUUCCUUACAAAUAAUAUAUAACUUACAAUAAUUUAAAAGUAAUGAUUUAAUCAAAAAUAAUAACGUGUAAAAUAAUUACGAGAUAGAAAUACCUUAAAAUAAAAUUUCUUCUUUUUUUAAUAUCUAUAAUAUUUUUUUUCUCCUCAUUAUCGUAUAAACUGAUGUCGACGUGAUUUAUUAUUUGAUAUAUGACAUCACCAUUUUUGCAUUUGCUGAAUUGGGUUUUUUUUUUUUUUUUUGGUGUUGUUUUUAAAUACUUUUCCAUGUUUGCAUCAAAAUGUUAAUUACGGGUUGACACAUGCAAUGAUAUCAUGGCGGAAAUUUUUCUUGAUAUUGAAUUUUGUUUCCAUUGUAUAAACAAAAAAACAAAAAAAAAAAAAAAACUUAAUCAUUCAACAUCGUUUCGGAUUUUUGUUUUGUUUUGUUUUGACAUUUUAUGGUGACAUGUUAGAGAUAAGAUUAGUUGGUUAAUUUGACUUGAGAACAAUUUAGUGCCUUCCACAUGCCCCCACCUUAAUAUUUGUUGACAAAUGACAGCCGCUAUUCUGGCUGUGACAAUUUUGAUCAAUUUUAAUCGGGAGGCGACAAUUGAAAACGGAUUAGAAGAGACGAUUUUUUCCCCAUUUUAAAUACAACAUAUAAUUAAAUUAGUUCUGUUUUAGCACGCAUUAAUUUGAUUAAAUAGGAUGCAAUAGGAAUAUUCCCUAAAAAAAAUGAACGAAAGGUAAGAGUCCUCCACAUUCCACAACCGUGGGUUAGCUGACACGUAUAGGAAUACCUAGUCAGUGAAAUAGAGCAAUUUUCAAAAGGUUUUUGCUACCUUACAUGCAAUGUAAGGUACAGCCUCUCACAAGGCCGGUGGGUCUAAGUAGGAUCCACAACUGAAUUUGUGAGAGGCUGUACCUUACAUUACAUGUAAGGUAGCAGCUCCCUUUUCAAAAAGAUCACCCGACGCUUGGCUGAGCAGUUAGCAUCCGUCUUUCUCUCACUCUUUCUUUCUUUUCUUUUUUUUUUUUGGCCGUUUUUCAGUUAAUAUAUGACCACUCAUGCAUCUAAUUUGUUUGCCUAAAUCUAAAACAAUUUCUUUACAAUUUUAUUUUCUUUCAUUUGUAGAUUAACUAAUUUCAUUUUUUUAACUAUUUUUAAACCACAAAUUUCAAGUCAAAUGAUUCUCAUUCAUAAACUUAUCAAUAAAAUAACUUUUUAUUGAGUGCUGGAAAGGGAAUAAAUAAGAAACUAUGAUUUCAAGAGUGAGAAAGCUGCUUAAAGAUUAAGAAAUAAAAAAAAAAGAAUGUUAAUUUAAAGUAUGGUUUUAGAAUCAAAGUAAAUAUUACAUGAAAAGGAGUUUUAAGAGGAGUUUUAGAAUCAAAGUAAAUAUUNNNNNNNNNNNNNNNNNNNNNNNNNNNNNNNNNNNNNNNNNNNNNNNNNNNNNNNNNNNNNNGGGGGGGGGGGGGGGCAAUAAUCCAACUCGAAGUUAAAAUGCCCAGUCUAUUUGCUCGUAGCGUUACACUUAGCAAAACAGUAGAGUUUCUAACACCCAUCUUUUAAACUCUUAAGAAAUCCCAAUUUACACUUUUAUCUCUUUUUUAAUGAAAUUAUAAUAAAAGACAUAAAAUGAUAAUAAAAUUUCAAUUAAAUCACAAUCAUUUAUAAUAAAUUUUCUAACCAUAUUUUUUCAUAAAUAAAAUUAUUGUUAUUAGAUUAUUUAUUUCUUCAUUGUUUCAAAAUUAUUUUGAUUUUGUCGACAAAGUUAUCUGUAUCAUAUAUCAGGAUUAAAAAAUAGUUAGGUCCAUGAUUUGUAAAUACAUUUUAGUUUAAUUAAAAUUCAUAAUUAUCCUUUUUAUGUAAUUUACAGUAACCAUAGAACCAUGAUAACCAAAAUCGGGUGAUACAAGGAUAUUGCAGGGGUGCGAAAAGUAUCACUCUUAGUGAAAUUCCAAUCAGUUGGAUCUGGCUGAAAAGUCCAGACAACAAGAUAUGAGCUAUCCAAGAUUUGGGCUACUCAGACAAUGGACCACUAACUGCAUGGCAUAUUAAAUACUCCACUAAAUAAUUCACAAAAUAGCAUUAUUUCCUAAGGCGGGGUUAAUUAAACUCAUCAAAAUACAAAAUAUACCCAAUUUUUUAUUAAAAAAAUUUAUUACACAGUUACCAAUUGUGUAAAUUACUGUGAAGUGCAACACAACAAGUUAAAUGAAAUAAUUCACUCUUGCAUCCAUUUCAUAUAUAUAAUUACUUUAAUAAAAUUUUCAUUGAAAUUAGAGAAUUUUGAUAAAUAUUUUAUCCUUUUUUUCAACAAAAUUUGUCUGCAAAAAGAAAUCCAAAGCCAAUUGUAAUAAAGGCUACAUCUAAACUUGACUGAUCAGUCUCUGUAUUCGAUGUUUAUUUUUUUUAUUUAAUUUUGUAAUUUGAAAGGUCAAAAUUAAAACUUUGAGAGAGAAAGCUUUAUUCCUAAUAUUUCUUUAAUUUGUAUAAUUUAUUUAUUUUUUGUUUGACGCCAUUUUUAUUUGCAUAUUUGAAUCAAUUUUUGUUUGACUACUAAAAUAAUAACCACACAAAUCAAGCAAGUUGAUUCAACAGAUCGUAAAUAAAAUUUUGAUUUCAUGUUCUUGAUUAAUGGGUUUGUAAAUAAUUGUAAUGAGUUUAUUUAAAAUUAUUAUUAACAUAGGAAAUUGAUUUUAGAAGGUUAGUUUUGGUAUUUAGGUGAAUGUGAAGAGUAUAAAUUUAAUUUUUUAAUUUUAAUAAUAAGUAUAAUAAGUAAAUGAGUUUAAAGAAUAUUAUAGUGGAUUCAAAUAAGACAUUAGCAGUUCUUAACUUACAUGCUUUCAUUCUAACAGUAUCCUUCGUCAUCAACCAUGCCCCUCUGGGAGAAAUCUUGCUGAUUGAUUCACACUUUCCCCAUCUUCCUUCCCGUUCCACCGGAAAAUUUAUUUUCAAUGCAGUGGAAUUAAUCUGAAGGGAAAAAAAAUGGUUGGGUCACAAUCAGAGAGAGAAGACAAGGUCUCAUUGGAGCUCUCUGAAGAAAUUCUUCAGAGCAUGGAAGUGGGCAUGUCUUUUAGAGAUUAUAUGGAAGAAUUAGUUCCAUGGAUUUUAAUAAAUAGUCGAGUUAUUUGGUGACUGCUAGUGAUGAUGAAUCUAUACGUCUGUAUGAUGUCACUGCUGCCACAUGUUUGAAGACAAUUAAUAGCAAAAAAUAUGGCGUGGAUCUUGUUUGUUUUACUUCUCAUCCUACAACAGUCAUAUACUCCUCAAAGAAUGGUUGGGAUGAAUCUCUACGGCUUCUUUCCUUGCACGAUAACAAGUACUCGCGUUACUUCAAAGGUCACCAUGACAGGGUUGUUUUACUUAGCCUGUGCUCAUCUAAAGAUUGCUUUAUCUCCGGUUCUCUUGAUCGAACUGUUCUGCUCUGGGAUCAACGGGCUGAGAAAUGCCAGGGUCUUUUGCGUGUUCAAGGAAGGCCUGCUGCAGCAUACGAUGAUCAAGGGCUUGUGUUUGGAGUUGCCUUUGGAAAUACAUAAGAAUGUUUGAUGCUCGCAAGUAUGAGAAGGGUCCUUUGGACAUCUUCUCUGUUGGUGGAGAUAUAUCAGAUGCUAAUGUCGUAAAGUUCAGCAAUGAUGGGAGACUUAUGCUUCUGACCACUAUGGAAGGACAUAUUCAUGUGCUUGACUCAUUCCGAGGCACACUUCUAUCCACUUAUAAUGUGAAGCCAGUUUCUCGCAAUUCCACAUUGGAGGCAUCUUUCAGCCCUGAGGGAAUGUUUGUUAUAUCAGGUUCUGGUGAUGGUAGUGUACACGCUUGGAGCGUAAGGAGUGGGAAAGAGGUUGCAAGCUGGAUGAGUUUUGAUACGGAGCCUCCUGUCAUAAAAUGGGCACCUGGAAGUCUCAUGUUUGUUACUGGGUCAUCUGAGCUAUCAUUUUGGAUUCCUGAUCUGUCUAAACUGGGAGCUUACGUUGGAAGGAACCGGGGGUGCAUGGAUUGAACUACUAAGAUGUUACGCUCUAUUGAAGCGCUUCCUAACCACCCUGGGAAAGGUUCCUUUCAGUUUGCCCUCUUCAUAUUUCUUUGGCAGGCAACAACAUGAGCAAUCACCUCAACUAUAAGGCCUCGCCUGGGCACUGCCUAGGCAGCUUUUUGAGAAAACUAGGAACUUUAUUUGUCAUUGACAUUUGUAACAUGAUAAGUUAUUGAUCGCUUUGUGUUGUGUAUAUUACCGAAAAGAGUAUUUCUAGCUUCAACCAUGAGUCCGUGAUAUCAGAAUUGAUUCUCAGAAAUUUGCCUCUUCUUUAGCAUUUUUGUUAACUCAAAGAGCCUGCUCUGGCUGGGAAAAAAGAUAAACCAUGCCCCUCUUAUCGCUCUCUCUUUUUCUCUUUUCUUUUUCUCACUUUCUAGCAUUUUUAUUUACACGCAAUAAUUUUCUCACAACCAAUUAUCAGUCUCUCAUUCCUAGUCAUUGUUACCCCACAUAUACUUCCUGAUUACCUGCUCUUUAAAACCGAAACCAAAUAAAUAAAUAAAUAAGUGCCGGACAGAAUCAAUGUGAAUAACAUUAAUACUGCGUUUAUUAAACUGGAAUCAGAAUGAGCUGAAAUCAUAAUAGAUAGGAAUGAGAAUGGGUUGAAAUGGAAAUAUGGAAUGAAAAUCAGAAUAAAUUGUUUACUUGAACUGUAAGAAUCGAAAUCGGAAUGAACUGGAUUGUCAUAAAUGUGUUUAAGUUGUCUUGAAAUCGGAAUCAGAAUAAGUUAGAUUGUAACAAAUUACUACAAAGUACUUAAUGAACUAUUGUCAUAAUUAUUAUGUUAUAUUUUAAUUAUAGUCAUUAUUCAUUCAAAAAUUAUUAUUUUUAUUAAUUAUUGUCAAUAAUAUAUUGAUAUAUCAAUUAAUUGUAAAAAUUAUUAAUUAAUUAAUUAAUUAUAAUAAUAUAAUUAUUAAUUAUUAAUAAUUAUUAUAAAUAUAUAUUAAUUAAUAAUAUUAAUAUAUUCUGCUGNNNNNNNNNNNNNNNNNNNNNNNNNNNNNNNNNNNNNNNNNNNNNNNNNNNNNNNNNNNNNNNNNNNNNNNNNNNNNNNNNNNNNNNNNNNNNNNNNNNNNNNNNNNNNNNNNNNNNNNNNNNNNNNNNNNNNNNNNNNNNNNNNNNNNNNNNNNNNNNNNNNNNNNNNNNNNNNNNNNNNNNNNNNNNNNNNNNNNNNNNNNNNNNNNNNNNNNNNNNNNNNNNNNNNNNNNNNNNNNNNNNNNNNNNNNNNNNNNNNNNNNNNNNNNNNNNNNNNNNNNNNNNNNNNNNNNNNNNNNNNNNNNNNNNNNNNNNNNNNNNNNNNNNNNNNNNNNNNNNNNNNNNNNNNNNNNNNNNNNNNNNNNNNNNNNNNNNNNNNNNNNNNNNNNNNNNNNNNNNNNNNNNNNNNNNNNNNNNNNNNNNNNNNNNNNNNNNNNNNNNNNNNNNNNNNNNNNNNNNNNNNNNNNNNNNNNNNNNNNNNNNNNNNNNNNNNNNNNNNNNNNNNNNNNNNNNNNNNNNNNNNNNNNNNNNNNNNNNNNNNNNNNNNNNNNNNNNNNNNNNNNNNNNNNNNNNNNNNNNNNNNNNNNNNNNNNNNNNNNNNNNNNNNNNNNNNNNNNNNNNNNNNNNNNNNNNNNNNNNNNNNNNNNNNNNNNNNNNNNNNNNNNNNNNNNNNNNNNNNNNNNNNNNNNNNNNNNNNNNNNNNNNNNNNNNNNNNNNNNNNNNNAGUCAAAUAAAUAUAAAAUAUUUAAAAUAAUAUAUAUUUUAUAAUUUUUUUAAUAAAAUCCGGGUUCCGGGUUUAUCAAGUGAUGCCCAAGACCGACCCGGCUUCAUACCCGGACCGGGUAUUACCCGGCCCGCAAUGCCCGGGUACGGUCCGGGUCCGGGCCGGGCGGGUAUUUUUGCCACCUCUAAAUGAGAGAUUGAUUCUCACCUCUCCCAUGGGAAUCAAUAUCUCAUUUUCCAUCUCCAAAUAAUGGUGGACCCUACGAUUCCGAUUCCUGCUCCAUUUUUACGAAGUAAAUGUUAAUUAUUCUGAUUCCCAAAUUUGUAAAGUAAACGCAGCAUGAUUCUGCAUUUAUUUUUGUUUUUUGGAAAAGUUUCUGACAACCUAUAAAGAAUCAUGCAUGACUCAAUAUUACAAACCAAUAGAAAGAAAAGAACCAUAAAUAUUAAAUUUUACGCAUGAUGUUUUGAGAAUUCAUCUUACCAAUUACCAAGAAGAAACUUUACCAAGUUCCUUAAGGAAAAGAAAAAAUAGGUUGCUAUUGUAUUCCAGAAAAAGAAAAUUGUGAAAAGAAAAAAAUUGAAAUAAUUAGUAAAGUAGUCAUUUGAUUUUUUGUUUGAAUGUUAUAUGAAUGAGGUUGAACUGAUGCAAGGUUAUAUAUAAUUUCAAGGUUUGCUUUCUUUAUUCGUGCUAAUUUCUUUGGAUUCUUAUUAAUUAAUAAGGAAUCUUCCGUUAUAAACUUUAAACUGUAAUUUAUAUUUUGAGGCAUUAUUUUUUUUUGUGUUAACUUAUGAAUUACGUCUGUUGCUUUCGUAUUAAGAUUUAUACAUAAUUUAUUAAUUAUGGUUAUUAAUUUUCAGGCAGAAUUUAGUUUUUGGUAUAUGAUUGAAUUAGAUGGUGCAAUAUAUUAAUUUUUGGUAUUUUCAUUAAUUUAAGAUUUGAAUAGCAUUUACUUUAUUUUAUUAAUUUAAGAUUUGAAUAGCAUUUACUUUAUUUUUACUGCAAUAUUUUUUUAUAUACAUUUCGGCAACCCCAAAUCAAAAUCAUGGUUCCGGCCUAGUAGUCUCACGGAAUCCCCCACCCUCAAAACAAAGAAUUCAUGAAUGUACAGUAAAAUUAUAUCGUCACCCCACUUUUAGCCAAUCGCAUGUACAAUGAGUUGAUGCCACGCUGAACCGUUCAAUUCAUCAUAUUUUUGAGUUUGGCCAAGUUUCAUAGGUAGCGAUUAAAGGAGAAGAGAUGACGAAUACGCAUGCUUUGUGCAAUUGGUAUAGGAGUUUAGAGAAACGACAAUGCUCAAAUGCCAAAUAUGUUCUAUCGCUUUAUUUUUCACAACCUGAGGAACGUGAUGCAUUAAUGAAAACUAAAUCAGCAAUGAAUAUUAUUGGGUUGAACAUUACUAUAAUCUGAUCACAAGCAAUUUUAGCAUCGAGUUUAACGUACAAAUUGCCUUCAUGUGGGGUUCUACUAGCCCCAUUCCGUACAAACCUGUGUGGGCUUAAUCCUCUUCGUCCGAGAGGAAGUUUAUACACAGUUAAUAUAACAAUGUUCUAUUAUUAUUUGUAUUUUUUUUUCAUGUUUUACACAUUGCAUUUAAUGGUAAUAUUCAUGUAUAGUUCACAUUAUAAAUAAUUUUACAAGUUGCAACAUUUACAAAAUGGACUAAAAUUUCUCGUGUGAUUAAUUGUUAAUGAAUUAAUUUGUAAGUAGUGAAGAAAUAAAUCUUAGCUAUGCAUGAGCAGUAAUAGCCACAAAACUCAAUGUCUAAAAUAUUAUAAAAUAAGCGUCUACAAAGUACAAUCAUCAACAAUUUUAUAAUAUAAUCAACUUUCCAUAUUGUAUAAACAAACAGAUAAUUUUAGGGUGUGGCCAAGUUACAUCGUAAUAGGGAUGGACCGGGUGGUCAUGGGUUGUAUUGAAUUAGGUUUUAAUUCGGUAAUGAAAAAAUCAAUCAAAUCUAACCAAAUAAGCAUGUCCAAUCCAACCCAAUUCAACAUGACAUUAUGUUUGAAUAGCUAUUAACUUCCUUUUAGUAAAGAUUUGAGUUUGACUGCUAAAUUUAGAACAUUGAAAAAUGAAUCAAUGGCAGAUUUAAUAGAGAGAAAUCGAAAAGAGCAUAUUUUAUAAAAGAAUAAAAAAAGGUUCAAAAUUAGAUUUAGCAAUUUAAAGUUUAACAAUUGACAGUUGACAUUAAUUUUUUUUAAUGAAUUAUAUUAUUAUUGGGUUGAGUGAGGUUAUGUGGGUUCAUAUUAAUGAACUCAACUCAACCCAACAUUAAGAGGAUUGAAUAAAAUUAACUUAAUUAACUCAUAUAAAUUUAACUGGUUUGAGUUGGAUUAAGGACCCAUUUGAGAUUGUUUUUGAGAGAUUUAAAAGUGAUUUUAAAAAUUUAAAAGCUAAUUUUGAUAUGUGGUAAAAAAAAAUCAAAAUCACUUUUGUUAAAUCAGUCCCUCUUACCGUUAAUUUUAAAAAGUUGGGAAGAAGUAGCUUUUAGAUUUUGAUUUUGAGAAUCAAUUUUGUCCUUUAAUAUAAUUCCAUAAAUAUUCUUACAAUUAUUGCCUAAACUCAAAAUUGUCCUUAUUUAAAUUAAAAAUAAAAUCAAUAUUUUAAUUAUUUUUAUUAUAAUUCACUCAUUCCUUUCAUUUACCCUAUUUCUUCAUUAUAUUUAACAUUACAUCAAAAGUUCUCUAUGGCAAUAUAGUCUAAAUUUUAUUUUUAGUUAAAAUUAUUAUAAUACACAAUUAAAACCAAUAUACUAUAUAUUUUAUUUUUUGUUGAAAUUAUUAUAAUACACAAUUAAAACCAAUAAACUAUAUAUUUUAUUUUUAGUUAAAAUUAUUAUAAUACACAAUUAAAACCAAUAAACUAUAUAUUUUAUUUUUAGUUAAAAUUAUUAUAAUACACAAUUAAAACCAAUAAACUAUAUAUUUUAUUUUUAGUUAAAAUUAUUAUAAUACACAAUUAAAAAUAUUGUAUGUAUAUGUUUUUAUAUGUGUAAGUAAAUUUCACCUUACAUUAUGUGCAUUUUAGUCAUUUGUUUUCUCACAAUUGUUUAACAGUAAAAUUUACCAAACAUCAAUAACUUCUUUCAAAACUCAUAAUACUUUUGAAAAUAAAUUUUACCAAACACUUAACUGAUUCUCUUUACAGCUGAUUAUUUCUACAGCACAACUAACUGUAAUUAUUUUAAAAAAUUACAACAUUCCCAAACUAACCCUAAGUUGAGUUGAGUUGAAUGGGUUAGAUUAGGUUUACCCAUCCCUACAUCACACCCAAAAACAAUAAUUCAAAAAUGAUAUCCAAACAAAUUGUAUCUGAGUUUGCAAGUGCCACUUCUGGGUUGUGUACGUGACAAUAUUGUAAUGCAAACUUAAAUUGUCCAUAGUUUUAAUAGAUUCAUCUAAAUUACUUAUAUCACAUGAAGGGACUCUAGCACUAUUUUUUCGCCUUGGAUAUAUAUGGACUUCUUUUUGUUUCCGCNNNNNNNNNNNNNNNNNNNNNNNNNNNNNNNNNNNNNNNNNNNNNNNNNNNNNNNNNNNNUUGUAAUUAAUAAGAAUUAAUUACUACAAGCAAUUUAACAUAUAUUGAAAACAUACAAACUGGAGAAUUAAAAGAAAUUACUCCAUUAGUAGAUGUGGUGAGAGCACACAUGGUUACUUGGAAAAUUUCUUUAUUGUUUAUUACAGUAAAUUUCUCUAUAGUAAUACUCUAUAUGAAAAUAACCUCUAUGUAGUCGUAAAAAAUUAUAAUCUCAAUUUGAACUAGUUAUAGAUAAGAAUAAACUUCAUAUCAUUAUAAGUUAUAAUUUUUCUAAAUCUGGUUUUAAGAAAUUUACCUCCACAUAGUAAUAAUCAUAUGCAUAUUAUAAAAUAUAUAUGCUUUGUUACAUAAAAUGUUUAGAAGAAGUGAAAUAUUUUUUCUAAAAUUAUUUGAAACAAUGAUUUAUUCUUUAGAUUUGUUACCAAAUCAUUGUAUAAUAUUUAUAGAAUUUACAUUUAGAGGAAAAUAUUAAAUAAAAAUACAAAAACAUUGAGACAUUUAAGAUGACUUGUGUAUUCCAAACGCUACAUAAAUAUAUGUACUAAUUUUUUGAAACUAUGUCUUUCUCUUUUUUCAACAUCUAUAUAUUGGAAUUGACAUUAAUUAUCAAUGUAGUCAUGUUUUAACUUUUUUUUUCUUUUUAAAAAGCUAAGGGGAGGUGGGCAAGCUAAAAUACAAUUUUUACCCCCCUUACCACCCCCAAGAAUCGAACCCAAAUUUUAGUAGAGGCUAUAACUGCACUGCAACUAACCUGACCACGCCCUUAGGGGCUAGUCAUAUUUUAACUUCAUAUUACUUGCGCUAAGGACAAUAUCGAGACAAUAGUUUUGUGACUAUAUAUCUAUUGUGCUAUCACCUCCUCAUAAUAAUAAAAUUAGUUGGUCACAAUAUUAUGACUGUAGAGAGAUUUUAUUGUAUAUCUUUCUCAAUGAAACUCAAGUGUUAUCUGUCUUACCCUGUGCCUGUCCAUUCUUGUGUGAAAAAAUACAAUGUGCAUCUUGUAGUUGUACUUGGAAAGUUCAUGGAUCUUCGUCGUUAAUUAAAGUGCGUAAUGUAGUAAUUGUGAGACUCAUCACUUGUUCUACCCGAUGAAGCUGAUCAGGCUUCUCCUCUAAAGUUUGAUCUUUUAUCUAAUUGAUACAACUCGCAAAACAACCCACUUCAGAUUUUAAAAGGGGUUGUGUACUAAUUGCCCCCGAAGCAAUCAUAACUGCUCAAACAGGAAAGAAAAAUAGCAUUUUGAUUUAUCUGCUAAUAAGCUUUUUAAACAAAAUCCAGUCACAAUUGAAAUUUGAACAAAGGACAAUUAAAAUCCAAACGGAUGUUGCUUAAGUAUAUCACUUGGGUUUUAUCUUGUUAUUAUGAUUUCAAUUCCAUGUGUGCCAAUUGCCAAAAUAUAAAUUUUUGAUAGUGUGCAUUUUAAGAAGGGAUAUCACGAGAUAAAAAGUGGGAGUUUUAUUAGAGCAAUACGUGCAUUAGAUUCCGAUUGCGUCAUAUUCGUUAACUAAAGUGAUCAUCAUGUCCUGUCAUGAGUAUUACUGAUCCAGCAUUACUUAUUCUUAAUCCAUAUUUUAUUUAUUAUAAUAUGAGAUGAGAAACACAUCUCAUCCCAUCACACAACCGUACAGGAGAUUACAAUAAGACAUUGAUUUAGUGGGCAGGGGGUUCUUUACUAAACUUAACAUUUUUACUUGUAGGUUUAGUGGUGGAUGGACCAGCAAUGCCGGCUGCGGUCCCCGGACAGCAAGUUUUGUCGACUUUAUUGCAGCAUGGGCUGUUUGCAAAGGCGGCUGUGCGGGCUGGACGAGGAUCGGCUGCUUUGAUCGCUGGACAGCAAGAGGCGUCGAGUUUGUUGCAGCAAGGAAGAUUUGCAAAGGCGGCUGUGGCUGGACGAGCAAUGCCAGCAGCGGCUGCUGGACAGCAAGUUUUGUCGACUUUAUUGCAGCAUGGGCUGUUUGCAAAGGCGGCUGUGCGGGCUGGACGAGCAUCGGAUGCUUUGAUCGCUGGACAGCAAGAGGCGUCGAGUUUGUUGCAGCAAGGAAGAUUUGCAAAGUUGGCUGUGGCUGGACGAGCAAUGCCAGCAGCGGCUGCCGGACAGCAAGUGUUGUUGACUAUGCUGCAGCAUUGGGGACCACCGGAGGACCAGGUUGGACGAUCAUCGGCAGCAGGUGUGACUGGAGCUGGACAGAAGACAGCAAAAACUAUGAAAAGGCUUAUGAGAUUGCUUAGGAUUUGGGAUGCCAUGAUAGUAGGAAGAUGAAAGAUUUCUUAAAGAGUGCUAAUUGUCUGUGGCAUUCACUGGAGAGUCUUGGUCACUACUCCUUUACUUAUAGCCGAAACAGUAAAGCAGACUUCAGAUUAAUCCUUCAUUUUACUCUAUUUUGUCAUUAGACUCGAUUAGAUAGGUGCUGCCGCGGGACUCAUCCAAUUUAAUUCGGUAGGCUUUAUUUAAAAUAAAAAAAUUAGUGGGUUUCGCAGUGUACCCACUAAACUAGUAAGUUUUUAUUAGCCAAACACAUCAUUUUAAUAUGUUGAGGUGGUGACCCCUAACCCAUGUAAGUAAUUCUCACUCUUUAAACAAUAAUAAUCAGAGAAAUCAUGUUUGGAUGGUGUGCCUACAAAAUUAAAGCUAUCACUUGGGUAGGGUUGCUGAGUCCCACUAAUUUUUAAGAAAUUAAAAAAAUUAUUGGAUAUUCAUGAAAUAAUUCUUUACAAUUCACUAUUUGGCAUAUGUAUAUUUUAAUUAAUAAUGCUAAUAUGCAUAUACGAGAAGUUAAUAGUAAAUGGAUAAAAAGCAUUGCUUCACGAACAUCAAAAACUUCCUCAAAAUUCUAUCAAUUUAAGUUGAUGGGUCUCAUUAAAGGACUCAUCUAACUUAUCUGCUUAAAAGAUAUUGAGGUAAUGCGUUUUGACCCACUAAAUUUCUCUCUCUUAUUUUUUUAAAUAAAUAAUAUAUAUACAUUUACUUUGGGCUGAAUCGCUAUAACAGUAAGAGUAAAGUUACUGGCAUCCCUUUGUUAUCCUUAUAAAACUUCACUUGAAAAUUUUAUCACUCAUAAUACUUUUUAAUAUGUAUAUACAGUAACAAUAAGAGUGCAAAAAAAAUGAAAUAUAGUACGAAACUACUUUGAGUUAUAACAAUAAAAAAAUUUAAAUAAAAUAUUUAGAGUAGUGCGUUUAAGAAAAUGAUAUUUUUGAAAAUAAAAUAACUAUAACAAAAAAAAAAGGAUUCAUGAAGAGAUUAGCUGAGUGCCAAUGGCCAAUAGUCCAACUCUAAUAGUAAAAGUCCAAUUUACAUAAAAACAAAAGGAAAAUUAAAUAGCUUAUGUUUCAUUUAGAAAAAAAAAAAAACAGCCUUUACUUCAUAAUUUGUCUUAUUGUCAUUUCGAUCGAUCCAUUAUUGCAGCCCUAAUUGCAACAGUUUCUUUUUCUGUAUAUGAAUCAUUACAGUAGAAAUAAAUCCUUAUACGACAAUAAAUUAAACAAAGAAAACGACGUGAUGAAUUGUUUUGCAAUUUAAUCUAGUUUGAGAUACAAGACAUGGCCGAUCACAUGACAAAUUUCAGUCAUGCACACUUUUAUGAAAGAAAACAAACAAUGCAUGGCUAGAGAAUAAGGGUAUGUCCCAUAAAUGUUUCUUUGGACUGAUGUAAGUAGUUUAUCAUAAAAAACUAGCCAAAUUUCCCUAAUUAGUUUCUCACAUUUACUCCAUAUUCGUGUCUCAUUUUUUUCAAUGGAAAAAGAAAUAAAAAUAAUACCAGUUGUUCCAGAUUUCUAAAAAGAGGAUAUAUGUAUGUAUGUAUACAUGUGUGUCUAUACUCAAUUUCUUAUUCGAGGAAGGGACGAGAACGAGGUGGAAUCCCCAUCCCCUACCCAUUGCCCCAUUUCCUUGUAUUCAUUUUUAAUUUUGAUUUUAUUUCUAUAAUUAUUAAUAAAUGAAUAAUGAAAUUUAAAUUAUAAAAUAUUAAAUAUCAGUAUAAAUAAAAAAUAUCAAAAUAUUUUAUACAAAUCUGUUAUAAAAAUUUUGAGCCUACUUAAUUAGUUAUAAUCCUGAAUUACUAUUCGACCAGAGUUUAUUCUAAAGGUCUUAGCUCAAAAUUAUUUUAGAUUAUGAGUCAUAUUGCUUAUAUUAUUUUAAUGUUAUUAAUAAACAUAAUUAAUGCCGUUAUUAGUUUACCAAGAGUGGCUGGACUUUGCAAACUUUCAAAGUCUAUCUGUGCAUCUAAUUAGAUGCAAUUGUUGUAAUUGAUUCACAGUUUUACAUUUUUAUAUUAUUGUUUCAGCUCACUUGUCAUUCGUCUUAGUGGUGCAGAUUGAGGGUCAUUAAGAUUUAUUUGAUUGAGGGAGAGUGAAUUUUUUUUUUUUUUUGAAAAGAAAGUAAACCUUUCAUUAAACUAAACUUUCAGCCAUAUAUAACACAUCAGCUGGGAAAUUGUUUCUCCAGAUAACAGAUUCUGAGCUACACAAAGCUCUUUUAGCUAAAAAAUGGGCAAAAUCAUUACACUUCCUUGGAACAUGUUGGAAAGAUAUCAAUUGGAGGGAGAGUGAAUUGGUGCGCCAGAUUCCGUAGUGGACCUCAAGAGGUUUUAAAAGGUUCAUAGCAUCCUCAACGCAGCUCAUGGAGCUUUGAGGAUGCUCAUGGGGAGCACAAGACAUACAACACCGUAAACAUAAAGGACAGAUAAUAUUUAUGUGGUUUGACCUAUAGUCUACAGACUAUCUCAACAACCCACCAACUAUGUAAAAUAUGAUACUAUAAAGAUUCUUUAUAUGAAAAAUGAAAAGAAAUAAUAAAAGGUCUUCCUAGUGCUUUUUCUUCGUAGUCCAUGUGGCGCUUUUAAAUUGACUUGACCAAUUUUAUCCAUCAGCAAUUAUGGUCUCCAUAAGUUUGUUACUUAUCUAUUGUCCUUGAUCAACCAAAAUCAUGAUUCGAUCGACUUCUGUUCUCAAGUGAGUUGGUGAGUAACCAACAAAUUUGCAUGUGAUUUUGUAGAGUUUCAUGGUUGCUUUUUGCGUAAGUAAAAAUCGACCCGUGAACGUGGAGAGUUUAUCUUUUACCAUUUCAGAAUUUGAUUGAAAGCAAUGGUAUCUGAAUUUUGAUUAAAUAAGAGAUAGUUGCAUACUUACAACUAACGGCUGUUCAUUAGACUCAAUAUAAAUGUUUGCUAACAAAAUCUCGUGAUCAUUUUUAAAUUUUUGAGACUUUUUGAGUUUUGAAUCUAUUUUUUCAAAGUAUUCAACUAAAAUGGUAUUUUAAAAAAAAUUAUAUUUUUGCAAUAUGUUUAAUGACAUAAAAAUUUAAAAAAAUAAUUGAAACUCAAAUGAAUUAUAAAUUUAAGACCCAUGUACGUAUUAGUGGUCUAAUUGCAGGACGUUUAUGUAAAAUUAUCACAUCUAAUACCUAAUACUAUGGGUCCCAUAUUCAUUCUUGUUGGGCCCAAUUAAUUGAUGAACUUCAGUUGAAACAUUCGAUUACCAUCAAUGCAUGCCACAUAUGCCUAUUUGCAGUCUUUUAGGUCUUGUUUAGUAUUGAGAUGCUGUAACUUUUAACUUACAACUACUAUAAAAAAAAUUAUAAUUAUGAAACAAAAGUUAAUAAUAUGUAGCAAAUAUAAAUUUUAAAUAAUAAUUUUGAUAAAAUUAGUAAAAGCAUAAUAGAUUUUCUAUCAUAUAAGUAAAAAAUCAUAUCAAUAUAGUUUCCAAUCUGCAGCAGUUAGGUGCUGUUUGUUUUUUGGUCUGAAGUCUGAAUUUAACUUUUUUUCAGACAUUUAUUUAUUUUAUGUUGUUUUUUUUAACUUAUCAUUUAUUAUUAGACAAUUUUAUAUGAGUAGAAAAAUUCCACUUUUAUCUUAAGUAUAAAGUUUAAAUGAAAAUUUUCAAUUUCAAAUCUAAAAAAUACUCUUAACAAUUCAUGUAUUUCCAAUAUUAUGUAUAAACCUAAUAUUUUUAUAUUAUUUUUGAAGUUAUUUUUUUUAAUUGCUUUAAAUUUUUAUUCACAUGAUAACAUUAACUAAACUGAAAUAUUAAACAAAUCAAAUUAUGUCCAUUGUGAUGAAUCAAAAAUAAAAUAACAGUGUUGACUUUAUAAUAAAAUUUGAUGUUAUAAUUACAUCUUUUAAUUAUAAAAUUAAACUAAGAUCAACAAUGAUAAUUUUUUUUAAUGGUACCAAACUAAUCAACAUGUGAAAUUAUAAAUUGUGAAGAACAAAUAUAUGUACCACUUAAAAGGAUAUUUAGUCAAACUAGUAGCUUUUAGGUUUUUCUUUUCAAAUGUUGAAAAAUAAAAAACAAACAUGUCAUUCAGACAUUUUUAUUUAGAUUUAUUAAGACUUUAUCUAAAUUCAGACACAUUCAAAUUUCAAAUAAAAAAAAACGGAACCUUAAUGUUUACUAAACACUUUAAUACAAUAUCUUUUAAAUUAGAGCUACCUAACUUCAAUCCCAAACAUACUCUUAAUUUGCUUGUUUAACCAUUGAAAAAAAAUUAAUAUCUAUUAAAACAAAGUGAGACAUGGUGCCUAGUUCUUCAGCAAUCUAUCAAUCAAGUAGAUGUUUUUGGAACUGCUUAUAUCACAAUUAAAAUAGAGAACCGGAUAAGUCAAUUCCAGAUUAGUCUACUAAGAACAUGGCAGUACUCACGAUAUUAAGGAGCAAAAUCAACAAUCAAGGAAAAAAAUAAAAUUUAAAAAGUCUAGCUAGUUCUAGAAAUGACAGGAUAUGAGUGAUGUUUAUUUUGUCAAUUUUCCCGUCUUGGUUCUAUUGUGAUGUUUAUUUUGUCUUAUAUUUCCUGAGUCGUUCAUUUGUAGCCAAGACUCAUUUAUUUGUGCGGAUGAUUUUGGCUGCAAAUAUAUAUAUAUAUUUUUUUGUAGCGAGUUGAUAAUCUAAUUUCCAUUCCCAAUAUCUAGAAACUCCCGAAUGUAUACUAUGAUAUAAAGAUUUUUCCCACAAACUUACAGGUGUUUAAACAAUUUAUUGAGGUGAGUUCAAUCCAAAUUACGUGCUUUUAACGAACCGAACUCAAUAACUAAUUCAGUAGAAAACAAUCCAUAAAACACAACACAGCAGAAGUUUCGAUAUAUGUGGCUCCAUAAGUCUUCAAUAAGCACAUGAACUUACUAAAUGAAUAUAUGCGAGGCAGUCCAUCAAAUCAAACGCAAUAUCUAAUUACAGAACCCAUGUACUGUUCUUUCUUAAAACUUUCUUUCGCAUACAAACAUGCAUGCAUUAAUAAAUUAAGGAGCUGGACAGCCAUCAACAGAAACUCCAGGGGCCGUAGGGCACUGUGCAAGGGGGCAAUGAUCUCCGGCAUCUAAACCCCACCAGUUAACUCCAUAAAUGUCGCUCAUCCCAAGACAUAAACUUGUUAGGAGAGACAGAAAAGCAACUCCCACAUCGAGACCAUUUGAUAACACAUAAUUGUACUUUGCCCACCAAUCUUUGUAUUUCCUAUACACUACCAAAUUGUAGACAAACCCCACUGUCACAAAAGACAAGAAACUCGUAGCACCACCUACGGCCACUGCUACUUUGCCCCCGAGUAAAUUUGAAACGUUGAUGUCUUUGAUCCAUUUUUUCUCAGGAAAAAACUUCGACAAAACCCAAACCAACAAUGGGCAAAUUAAGCCAAUCAAAAAGAAAUAGAAUAGUUUAGAGUAUAAGCCAUGAGGAUAAAACAUACGCUGCGGACCAAUCACGCCCCAAACUACAGAGGUGGAAUAGGCAUUAUUCUUUGAAGGACAUGUCCAUGGACUGCCCUUGGGUAAAUUUUUGGGGUCGCAGAUAUGCUCAACAGCUGACAGCAGCCACCAUGAUGUUGCAAAUCCAACAACGGAUGAGACGAAUGUUCCAAUUAUUUGUGCCACAAACAUUGACUUAGGAGCAAUCUUCAUGUAGUGGGCCAAUUUUAACUCGCUGAUGAACGCAAGAGCAAAAUCCUCUGCGGUCACACUGUACGCUUUGAAUACCAUGUUAGCUAUUGGCUUGCCAGGGUAUAUGUACCCUACCAGCAUUUCUGAAAUAAGGUUCAACGAUAUAUACUGCAUGAAAUUAAAUUGGAAGUAAUGAUUAGUUGAUGACACACAAUUGAGCCUGAUUUAUACACACACACACACACACACACAUUUAGAGCAGUAAAGAGUUGAAUAUCAAUUACUUAGAUAGAUGGCUUAUUAAGUAAUUAAUUACUUGGCCGGUUGUAGCUUGCAGUACUCCAAGUGGGAGAACAAAAAUCAAGAUCAAAAGACAUGAAAACAAGAUGCCCCAGUAAGGAAGUUGCAACUGAUCCCCAAACGCUUCACAAGAUAAAAUUGCCAAACCGACUGCUGUGAUCAAUAUUGCUAAGUACCAACACUGAGGAACUGGUUUGUACUUCUUCAUUAGCCUAUUGUGGACAUCUUCAGUGCUGUUGUUGCUGCUAACAUAUGCUUGCUUAAAUUGUUGCCAUGCAUCUCUACGAAAAUUAAAAGGAAAUUAAUUAUUUAAUUUCUGCAAUUAAUGUAAAUGAGAACAUAUUUACAAGGCAUUCUUUGUUAAACUCAUGAAGUUUGAAAUUUUAUUAGUUUCAAAUUUUUUUUAAUUUUCUUAUUUUUUUUUAAAUCUUAUGUCUAAUUUUUAGAUAUUUGCUUCUAAAUAUUAAAAAAAAAACAAGUUUUAAUGACUUUUAUUUAAAUGGAAAAUAUCCGAAGUAAAUAUUAUAUUAUAAAAUAUCUCUAAAUGAGAUCAAGCAUACGUUACCGUCCAUAAAAAGCUAUAAAAUGACUGAGCGAGGCUGUGACAGCGGCAAAUUCGAAUCCAAGUGCAAAUAGGUACACAACACUUAAGUACAAAUUUGAGUAACCUUGAUAUGCUUUUGAGUUGAACGUAAGAUCGGUGUCCUUGACAACUUUGGAGACGUUAUAAAGAUGACCAUAUUUGUCAAAAAGUCGGGUAGAGGAAAAUGGAAAAUGCCUGGCAUUGUUAGAAUUAGUGAAAUAAGCGAUUGGCGUGAUGAUGUAGAGGAAGAAGAUGAAUCCAGUUGUCAUAUUAAUGAUUGUAGACAAGGGGUAAACUAAUGGAUUCCCCGAGUAAGCCGCUAUGGCAUUCCAGUCCAAGGCAAAUGAACCAAUGCCAAAGCCAUUUCGACCAGAACCAAUAAGUUGAGCUGUCACUGAAUCUUUCCACAACCAACAAACAACUGAGAGCGCACCCAAAGAAGGAAAGAAAUAGCCUGGUACGAUUGCAUAAGCAAAACUUGUGACGGCUGCCAAUAUAAAAAACUGAAAUUUCGUAAUCCCUCUUUGAGGCCUCGAUUUCAUGACUUCAUGUAUUGACCUGAAAGCGUGCAUGAGAACAACACUAGCUUACAAAGUAAAAGAAGCCUCCAAAAACCUAACACCCAUUAAUUUGUUCACUUUGAGAAAUAAUUUAUGUCCAUUGAAGGUGUACAUGGAAUAUAAGCCCGUAGAAACAUGCUAAAGAAUGCACAUGUCGUAUAUAUCAUAAGAAUUUCUGAUUCAGUGCAUAUAUAAGUGAUUGAGCGAAUGUAAAUACAAAAAAAUACGUACCUGUAGAGAAAUACGUCAACUAAAGUGAAAGGAUACCACAUGUAUGGAUUAUUUACCAAGAACUUCAUAAAUAUUCCUGCAAACCCAUAACCUAGCAUCUGCGAGAUAGAUUCAUAUAGAUAGCUAGCCAGUGAUUAAUUUUGAAAUAAACAAUACAUAAAACAUCAAAAUUAAGAAUGACUAUGGGCAUGCAAUUAGAAUUUAGAAUUAAUUACCUGACUUGUCAGAGUCAGCAGUAACCCUACCCAGAAAUUCAAAUAUUUGUGAUAAAAGACUUUCCUGACCGUCAAUAUUGUAGCACUGGAAGGAACACUUAAUCCUGAUGUAGCCAAAACACAAAGAAGUACAUGUUCUUUAAUGUUGAAGGGCCCGGGAUUCAUGGAGAAGGUCCAAUUUGUUCCCGGAACUUUCAAAAGUGUAGAUGGAAGCGUUGAUGCCAUCAAUUUUCCGAGACCCAAAAGCAGUAUUUGGAUGCAAGUAGUUGAGAGCCCGAUAGGGUUUUGACGAUAGCUAAAGAAUUCUUUCACAAAAGCUAGAACCAUGCAAGUAAUUGGUCCUAUGGCCCACGUUCGAAAUGUUAAUGUGGGGAGAGUCGGGUCGUCGGUAAUAGGGAUUGUAAGUCUCACUUGUUCUAUCGGCGAAUCAUUAAUUUCAUCCUCUGUGGCGUGUCAUUAGAUUAGUAGUACCCAUAGCAUAUUGAUUUCUCUUGUAUAUGAAAAUUAAACAGAUUAUAGAAAAACGCCAUCAUUUACACAGAAAACUAGCUAUAUUAAAUUUCUAUGUAUCUAAUUAAAAAACAAAAGCAAACCGUAUAUAUUCAUAUAUAUAUAUAUGCACUAGUAAUUCAAUGAAAACCAUUUUGAUGAGUUUUCAAACAAAUAAUUAUUGAUAGAGAAGAUACCUUCACCGCUUUGAAUUUUCUUGUUCUCCAUGACUAAACCCAUUCUCUCAGGGAAGAGGAAGAUAACCCGAUUCUCUAUGUUUUUCUCGUUUUAGAUCAUAUAUAACAAAUUCAAAUUUAGAAAAAUUCUUGCUAACUUGUUAAUACUAUCACAGCAUUCCUUUUUUUUUUUUUUCCUUUUCCUUUUCCUUUCAACAGACGUAUGUGCAACUAAAAAUUUUUAUGGAAAGUAUGCGUGGGAAAUUUGAAUACCUUAAAUAUAAUUAUUUAGAAAAAUACGCACACAAAGAUUUUAUCAAUGGAACUAGCUGGCACCCACUAUUUUGUUUACUUUCUAAUAUACGAAAUCAAGAGUAAAAGGAAUUUGCCGAAAAUUAAAAAUGAAAAACAAUUAAAUUGCUAAUCAUGUACCGAGAUAUUAUACUAAUAAAUGCUAAUUACUAAUUAGAAUGCAAAUGAAGAGGCGUAAAAUAUGAAUAACUGAAUUAGAAUGAAAAUUGGUGAGGCGUUACUUGCAAUAUCUGCCCACCAACAAUAGUAAUUAAUUGGAGCUCGAAAUGUGAUUGACAGCAAGGAAAGUUUCGAAUUGAUUGUGGGGAUAGAAUCCUCUCAAAUUAAGAAUAAAUCAGGAGUAGUCAGCGGUGCUGUUAAGUGCUAACAGUCUAACGCCUUAUAAGUUUUAAUAUAUAUGCUCGUUUACAGUACUAGAAAACCCAAAUUUUUUUUAAAAAAAUUACCUAAUCCAUUAACAAUAAGUACAAACCAAACGGUUUAUAUAUUACAAAUUCAAGUUUAACUUUUAAUACUUGUCAAAUCGACCCGAAAUGCCACCCUUAAUUCAUAACUGUACAUUUUAAUUUUUUAAUUUAUUUAUAUUCCACAUUGUUCUUAUCUUUUAUUUUAACUUGGUAUAUUUAUUUCUCAAACUUUUAUUUACUGAUGAUUCAGAAAACAUCAUUUCCUUCUUUAAAUCAGAAACAUCAAUGGUUAAGUAGGAGUGCGAAAAUUAUUCAAAGUUCUUGAAGGUGGACAUUUUAUUUUCAAACCAAAUUAGAGGAUAAAAUCAAUUAAUAUGUAUCAGUAAAAUGAAAUUACAUUUUAAAUAAAAAGGUAUUAUGUUGAAAGUUUGCGAGUCAUUAUGUCCUUCUUAAAAAUAGUAAGGGCCUUAAUUUUAUUUGUUAAACACAUUUAUCUGUUUUUUAACUUAUAACGUGCAACGCACAAGGAGAAUAUUUUGCUUCCUUUUUAGAAUGUUAAUUGUUGUAAUUGGGCUGUCAUGUUCUCGUGAAAUGGGCCACCAUUUAUUGCUGAUAUUUUCAACCAAAAGAAUAGUCCUUUAGAUAGGAGAUUUAAAACUCGGGUAAUUUUCAGAAAUCUUUCCUGAGAUUUGAUAUAAUUUCACUUAGAUGGUGAGUUUAAUUGUAUUUUCAUUUAUCUCCUCUGCUGUUAGUAUACAUACGGUUUGACCAUUAGUUGACUUGUAAAAUUACUAGAAUAUCCAAACCACUUAAACAAAGCCUAAGAUUUGGCGCCAACAACUUCAAACGAGUGCUUUUACCAAUGAGUGUGUUUAUGGGCAAAAAUAGGGUACCAUACAUUUACCUCCUCUUCUCUCCAAAUUCAACCUAGGUCUUGACUUUUUCGACAACAAUCGACGGUGGGUGGACGGGCUUUUGACAACAAAUUGAUCUCCAGCAGCGCGUGGCACUACCUCUGCCAAUUUUGGCCGUAAUAUUUCUGCCAAGUUACCGGUAAUCUUGGCUGUGCUUAUAUUGCAAACUCCUUUUGUUUCUCAUUUUAACAAAAUAAAAAAUAAAAAAAUCAUCAUGUUCAUGUGUUUUUUUUUUUGGUGAGAAGGUCUAUCUCUAGUACGAAUGAAUCUCUCUCUUGUUUCCCCAUCACCUUUCUCUCUCUGGAAAGGUUUUUUCCUCAUUCCAUUAUUUUUUAAAAAACAUGUAGAAACAAGAGCAGUUAAGUAAAAUACACACAUAUAUUGUUGUUUGUAAUUUAUAAUAUAAAGUAAUAAAAUAUUAUUUUCGUAUUUCAUAUAUAAAUAAAUGAAUAUUAUGACACAAAAAACAGAAACGGUUUGCUCUCCCCAUUUUGGCCGGAUUUUCCAGAAUAAGUUGCAGCUCUUUGUACUAUGACUCUCCUCCAUCUAUAUAUUCUACACACAUUACACAAUACUUGCUUCCCCCCAUUCUCCAUUAAUCAAUUAAUUUAUAUGUUUUUAAUUUUACAGGAAAGGAACAAACAUUUUCUCAAGCCCAUCUACUCUCUUAAUUAAUUACUACUAUAAGUACUCAAUAUUUAGAUUAAAAAGUUGGAUUCAACCCAUCUCCUUCUUUCUUUUAUAUAAAUCAUUUUUCUUUUUCUUUUUUAACCAUAUUUAUUUAUACCGAAAUAAAAUGAUGUUGAUAGCUAGAUGAGUGUAAGAUUGAUUAUAGAUGAGUAUUAGGAUUGAUUGUUGUGUAAAUAUAAAAAAACGGUUUAAUUAAAUUGGUAGGUAAAAAAUGACACAUGAGGUGUUCGACAAAAUGCCUAUUACGGUUUGUUUGUCUCAUUUUAAGUAGAUUAGGUAUAAUGGCACAUUGAUGGGAAGACAAAUUUUGUAAGCUCAUCAUGUAGCACGAAAAAUCUGCGAGAAAGGGCUUAAAAAGCCAUUUACGAAUUCUGCUGGUUGCACGCAUGACGGGUGUUGAAACGCACACGCGAUGAGCUCUCGUCUCAUUCGCGUUUCAGCGCCCAUCGCGCGCGCAACAAGCACAAUAAUGCGCGUGCGAUGAGAAGCAGUCAUUGCGCGGGCUUUGCUUCGUUGUCGCGUGUGCCCCAUUUUACGUGGCCAUUGCGCGCGUGACAUGCGGCCAUUUAUUUUUAAUUUUUUAUUCAAGUUUCUUCUAAAAGAACACGCGGUGAUGGAUUUUAUUGGUAGUAUUUUUAUUUGGCGCAUGCAAUUGGUCUGUAAUGUUGUGCGACAAGUUCUUAUCUCCCGUGCGACAAGCUUGUCAUACAAAAUUGCCCUCGAAGAUGUUUAUGUGUUUAUUUGUAAUAUUUUGAGCUAUGAUUUUGAUUAAUGAAUAAAAAAUUGGAUUUACAUAUAUAAUGGCCAAAAAGCCGCGGUCUAAGCAUAAUCCACCCGAUCCAAGAAAGGAACCAGACAUGAUGAAGAUUCCGGCAUCGAAACAUUUCCCCGGGCAUAUUACAAAUACCUCUAAAUUUGGAAAUGUCAUGGAAGCCAUCAAGAGGAAGUUGACGAGACAACAAUUAAGCUUAUUGAAGAAAGACAUUUUUGGCCAGUUCACAAAAAUGGAUGCCUAUGUCUUCAGUGGUGCAAUUGUGCACAACGCAUUAUACCAGGUUGAACACCUACAUUGAUGGCCGAAAGACACGAAAUCAAAACUGUUUGCAGACAUUGAUAUGGUGUGUGUUUCUACAUGGUUCAAUAUAGUUCUGAUAAUAAUAAUUUCAAGAUUUUAUGAUAUCUUAACAUUGGAUAGGAAUUCUUAUCGCCAUCUACAGGUUUUAAUUCUAAUUAACUUGGAAGACAACCAUUGGGUUUUAGCCCGGGUAGACUUCCGGCGCAAGCAGAUCUCUAUCUAUGACUCAAUGAAGCAGUUUCGCGAGGACAAAACGUAUGGUCAGCUAUUGAAGCCACUUCAAGUUAUCUUUCCCCAAUGGCUGGAAGAUGUUGGGUUUUACGACAUCCGGCCAAACUUACAUAGUGCGGAACCCUGAAAACUGGUAAGCGUUGAUGACGUACCUCAACAACAACCCGAAAGCGGCGAUUGUGGAUUGUUUAUGUUAAUGUUUACGAUGUACUUAAUGUUCAAGCUACAAUUUAAUUUUGACAGUUGGCAUGGACAAUAUUUUAGGAGGAAGAUUGCCAUUGACAUAUUUAACGGUGAUAUUAUGUUAUAAAUGAUAUAUUAAUCUUUUAUAUUAAUUAUUGAAUCUUGUGUCGACCGAACUUCCAUUCAUAUAUUUAAGAUUGUUAUUAUGUCUGUUUUGAUACCUUGUGUUAAUGAGUUGAUUGUUGCUUGGUGAGAAUCAUGAGUUGCCUUCUUUUUUGUAAUUUCAUUGAGAUGUUGGUCGGUGAGAAUCUGUGUUGUGUUAUAGGUUGAUAGUAGCUUGUGUCAAAUAUUGGUGGUUUGGUUUUUAUAGCAAAAUUGAAUCCCUUGCUGGUGGAGACUGGAAUGGUUUAUUACUGAGAGAAGUAAAUUAUAUUUUUGUAGUUUUUGAUUUCACCUCCAGACAAACAUCCUGUAAUUUGGGGAGACAACAUUUAUCUCCUGUGUGACAUGUUGUUGUCUCCCCAAAUUACAGCAUGCUUGGCUCGAAAUUAAAGAAACAAACAUUCUGUAAUUUGGGGAGACAAGCAUUGUCGCACGGGAGAUAACAUCUUGUCUUCCCAAAUUAUAGAAUGCUUGUUUCUGUAAUUUGGGGAGACAACAACAUGUCACACGGGAGAUAAAUGUUAUCUCCUCAAAUUACAGGAUGUUUGCGUGUAGGUGAAAUAAAAAACUACACCAAUAUAAUUUACUUCUCUCAGCAACAGACUAAAAUUGAAUCUAUCAAGUUGUUUGUCACCCAACCGACAACACAAAUAACAAACAUUUUAAUUUGUGCUGAGACCUAAAAAACGUUAAUAUUAAUUAAUUGAAUUGGAAAAUAACACUAAUAAGAAUGACACCAUCACUUAAAUAACAGUCACAUGUGUAUUUCUGCAGCUUACAGUUGGUCACAAUCACAAUUUGACUGAAUUUGAUCAGCCUAUACAUCUAGUAGUCGCCCAUAUACACAAAAAGAAUAAAAAUAAUAACUACACUAACAGUGUGCCAUGAUAGAUAGCUGCGUUAUACUUUAUACAUGGCAUUGUCACUGUGUUAAUAUCACAUUUAUACAAAAUAUACAAAAAUCUUCUGUACAUUCAUCUGCAAAGACAUCUCUAUCGUCAUUUGUUGCCAUCAUCCCAACAAAAUCUUCUAUUGCCGUCACUUGCUCAAUGUGAACCUCAUCAUUCAAAUCAGGGAGAGCAAACUCAUUCUCAUCCGCUAAGUCAAAGCAGUCCAUUUCAAUUGACCUUUCGUCUCUAUCAUAUGUGAACAAGCACACGUUAAUAAGUGAAAGUAAAGUAAUAAUUAUGAAUAAUAAUAAUAAUAACAUUGCUAAACAACAACAACAGCAGUUACAAUAAUAAAGAAAAAAUGAUAAUAGUAAUACAUUUUAAUGUUUUUCAUGUCACAUGCAUGUCAGAUAACAAAUAAAAACUGAGUACGUGCGACAAAAAAUGUCCACGGGAGACAACACUUGUCGCCUAAAAAUAUAAAAUGUCUGCAUGUGAGACAAGAGCAUGUCACUGCACAAAAUACAAAAACAUUGUUUCACUUGUCGCCAAAAAUCUUAUUUGUUGCAUAAAAAAACAGAAAUUGUGUUCGUGCAACCAAAAAACUGUCGCACGAGAGACAUACAGUUGUUGUCCAAAAACACAGAAUGUAUGUGCGACAAAAAUAUAUCGCCGCACAACAGACAAAAAUAGUGUUUUUGUGCAACAAGACUUGUCCCUCGUGCAACAAUUUUGUCACCUAAAAACACAAAAACUCAAUACGGGCGACAUCAGUUCAUUGCACAUGCGACAACAUUGUCACCCAAAAACACAGUCUGUAUUAGUGCGAUAAGGUCUUGUCGCAUGGGAGACAAACUUGUCACCCAAAAACGCAGAAACUGUGUUUCUGCGACAUGCGCACACAAACACUGCAAAUUCAUAAACAUAUCAACUUAAGCAAACUUUGGCGGGAAAAAUAAAAAUUACAGCUAAGACUACUUCUAUUUUACACACCCAUUUGAAUAACAAUAACAAAUUUUUGGCUUUAUAGCCUUAUUACGCUAUGUAUAGUGUAAAUCACAAACAUAAAAUAACUAAUAAUUAAAUUUUUUCAACUCAUGGCCACAUAUGGCUAAACUCAUUCUCCUUUUAAUCAAUUUUUCCACCACCAACCCAUGAACAAGACAAAUCAAACACAACCAACAACCACUUAUAAAACUCCAAAAACAAGAAAAUCAAAGGCAUUUAAAAAUUUUAGACUUUGAUAAAAUAACUAACCUCUUACAAACUCCAAUAACAGUGGCAUAUCCCCGCCGCCGUCGAUCGUCACUGGUUGUUGGCCUUCUCCGACCACCCAUAUUUGUCUUCUUCGUGGGUUAUAUAUGCUCUUUGUGUUUAUUCGAUGGCCUUAUCCGACCACCUAUAUUUUUCUUCUUAAUGGGUUAUGUAUACUCUUGAUGUGUAUUUCUUUUUGUUCCAGCAAAUGAGAGUAGGUGAGUGCAGUGAAAAUUGUGAGAGAAUGUCAUCCAUUGCUUUUUUGUGCUGGGGAAAGAGAAGAGAAAGAGAAAUGCACUCUUUUACACAAUGGAUAUUGUGUCUAAUCGGUUAAUACAAUUGUCCAAUAAAUUUUAAACCAUUUUUUUAUUGUUAUUUGAUUUUUUUUAUAAUUUCACCUUAUCUUUUACAUAUUUGCCCUCGUCAACUAACGGUCAAACUGUAUGUAUACUAACGGCAUGGGAGGUAAGUGAGAAUACAAUCAAACUCGCCAUCUAAGUGAAAUUAUAUCAAACCUCAGGGGAGGUUUCUGAAAAUUGCCCUUUAAAACUCUUAUAUUUAGUAAAGUGAUAUUAGAGUCAAAUUUUGAUAGUCGAAAUGUGGUGGUAGAACAAUUUAGAUGUGUCUGAAAAGUUUUAGAUCCGACGGUGGUUUCGUCCAAACGGAGAUUGUUGAAUUGCGUCCUACAUUAACUUGUUAAAGGAAGUCAACUAGGUUUAUAAGUACAAUAAAUCCCUCUAUCUAAUAGGUUAAUUUUUUUGAGAGAAAUACCUAAAUAUCUUGGACCUAGUCCCCAACCUCUAGUAUCAGAGCCUGAGCCUGAGCCUGAGCCUGGACUUUAAGGGUUUUACCAAAAUAUACCAACUUUUGGGCAGAAUUGCUAAUGAUUCUAGCAGGUAGUCCAAUCGUCAAUUUUCAAAUUAAUUGUAAAUCUAGUAAACAAAUUAAAUUCAUACUCAAUGCAUAUCUGCAGUUGCGUGGUUACGUGUUUCGAGGGAACUUUUAUGAAAUUUUUGGUAAAUAAUCCUUAUAUUUGGUAUCCUUACACCUUACUUGAUGUAGCUACCUUUCUAACAGGUUUUCUCGAUCGUGACUCUCCAUACAUAAUAGAAAUAUUGAGGUCAAUGCACUAUUACAAGGAAACUAAUUACAACAAGCAAGCAGGUGUGGUUUUGACAUUCCGGUCAGUGCACAAAGUAGAAAGUGGAGCAAAGGCCCAAAGCGGGGUUGACAAAGUUUCAACGCUUUACGGUGGCAACAGUCGCAGGCUUUGCCUAUGCAGUCAUAAAUACCAGGCUAUUUCUUUCCUUCAGUAGGUGCUUGUUUUGUUGGUUUCGGAAAAAACUCCGUCAUAGCUCAGCUAAUUGGUUCUGGCCGCACUAGCUUUGGCAUUGCCUUGGUUUCGCCUGGAAUGCAAUAUCUCGUUACAUGGGAAACAAUGCUAGGCAUUUUCCGUUUUCUUCUUUCGACAUUUACGAUAAAAGUGGCCAAAACAAAAGUUCUCAAUGAGAAUGACCUUACAUUCAAUCGGAAAGAGUAUCAAAGCUACUCAAAUUUAUGUACAACUGCUACUCUCCCAUUAAUGGUUGGGUUUGAAUUUGUGGGUAUUACAGGUAUUAUCACUCAUUUUGUCGUUUUCCAUGCGAGGUACACAAUGGCACUUAUUGGCACAAUGCUUGAUUUCUCGACUGACUUAAUUCCCAUUUGCAUUUCUGCACUAAAAGGAUCAAUAAAUUUAAUGCAGUAGAUAUCUUGUCUACGGAGGCAUGGCAUAUUUGACUUCAGAACUAAGUUCAUCAUAUAUCUUGCCUAGUCCAUUCCAGUAAAAAUUUGCUUCUAGAUUGUACUUACAAAUAAACCUCCUAAGUUGAGAACUUGUGAAUGGGUGAAUCAGCCCAGUCAUCCUUUUGCCUUAGCAGUUUUGUUUGAUGCAUAUCUACAACAUCCUCUUAUCAACAAGCUAAUUAGAAAAUGAUAUUCAAGUUAGUAAUCCUCCUACUACAAGUCCACAAUGGCCUGAGAUUAACAAUACUUGAUACUUUCUUCAUGUAAAUGCAGUCUAUAAAGCUUUUUCAUGAUGCCCUCAUAGAGGAACCCUGCAAGAGACUUAUCAAUCAACUUAAAGACAGAGGAUCCUUAAGGAGUUCACAGGGCACUGACUAAUCUCAAAGCACAAGCAUCAGCCAUUGAUCCAUCCAAGUAAACUAUCUUAUCCUAACCUUAAAAGAUUGAUCAACAAAAUAGUCAUAUAUUUAAUAAUAAAAAAACCAAUCUUUGGGUCAAUAAUGUAGCUAUCAGAAGCAAUAAUGUGGAAAAAGACAUAGGUAGAGGAAUCUAUUUUCAAGUCAGAGACCAAUAUCUUUUAUUAAUUAAGGCAAAAUUGAACUUUACAUCUAAAAGAGUACAAAGGCUCAGUGUCUGCUAAAGCAUUUUCAGCUAUGUUAAGAUCAGAAAAGGCAAAUUAAUCUACAAAAUGCAGUAACAGAAAGUAAUGAAGGCUGCAAUGCCACUUAAGAUACAAAGUCUGUCUAACCUGCUUUCACUUCUCAUCUUCUCCUCUUUUAACUCGCUUUGAACUUUUGAGUAUAAAUGACAUGACUCAAGAACUUCACUAUAGUUUUUGCUCCGAUGGCAGCUCAAGGCCUCCUUGAGAAUGAGCAAACUGUUUCUUCCAUUAACAUGAGCACCUUCCAUGUCUUCCAACUGCAUGCUCAGCUCAGUCAACUUGAGAGUUGUCUGUACACCCUCCUCCUCAGUAUGAACAACUCUGAACUUCAUACUUAGUAUGCAUUCUACCACUUGACAUGGAAGAAUAUCUUUGGCAGGAAGAACAGAUCCAAAGCGUAUCACAAAAUCCUUGUCUGUUGGCCAAUGUCGUUGGCCCCCAAGAGGGCUCCAGCUAGCUAGAUUAGCAGCUUGCUUCAUCUUUUUGUUUACAACAAUCCAACUGAGCCGUAGUCCAUCACGAAGCUCUUUCCACAGCUUUCCAUCUUUUCUCUCUUUUUCCAUGGAGAAAAUUGGAGGAAGACCAUCAGAAACCGAAAGGGUUACUUCACCUUCACCAUCAUCAUCUCUAGCUGCAUAGGUGGUCAGAAUAUCAAUUCUAAAUGGGCAGUUAUAAAACCAACCAUUAAAUCCAUUAGCAUUUGGGAUGCCCCAUAGAACCUUUGAACAUAUGGCUUUAUCUUUAUAUCUGAUAUCUACAAUAGAAACAAAAUCUGAUGGCGAAAUAGUUUCAAAUUCAUCCAUAUCACCAUAGUAUUCAGCUUCAGUCCAUUCUUCUGGGUACUCAAGAUAUUUAUUCCAGUGAUACUCGCUGACUUCCUUGUUAACUAUUAGAGGAAAACAAUCUGCAUAGAACUUUCUAAAUCCACCAAUUGAAGCUAUCAAACUUUUGACAUCCUCCCUAUUGGUUGAAGGCCACAUAGAAGAACAUACAUUUUCCCACAAUCUCUCUUCUCUUGAUAUGGAACAAAAUGCAGCACAAGUACAUGCUGCAGUAGCCAAAGUUGGGCCAUCGAGACGCCUCAAUAUGUCAUAAAAGAGAUCGGUGCUCAAUGAUGCUGUACUCUCAACUGAUGCAACUGAUGUAGCCAUAGACCUCUGAUCCACCAAGUCAAAUAAUAUGCAAUCAGGUCAAUAAGUAAUAUUGAUAUAGAAUAAUAAAUAGCUCAGCAAGUGAAGACAAAAGCAUUCUGGAAUAAGAAAAAAGAUAGAGAAAGGUAGAAAGAAACAAAUAAGGAAGGACAAUAGUCAAUUAAGAAUUGCAGGUCUUGCAACAAAAAUUCAGUACAGGUAUAGUUUGUUAUUAGUGCAAAGUCUUCACUAACUCUCCUUAAACUACACAAAACCUGCAACUCUUCCAUCUCAACAAUGGAGCGAAGAGAAAAUAAUAAUAAUAAUACUAAUAAGUCUUGUUGAGCAACAAUCAUUACAAGCAUAUGUUUCCCAACUGCCUAAAAUAGUAUACCAUUUCCAACUUCUCUGCCUCCCCAACAAAUACAGGGCCAUCUAAUUCGUCCAAGAAUUCCUGCAUCAACCAUUUUCCUGUUUUUAAGGGCCUAUACCACUUUUUUUCCUUCAGUUUGGGACUAUUAUACACUUAAAUCUGUUAGGUAAACGACAGAUUCAGUUCAAGAAAUUGGUUCUCCCUGAACCCUUUUGAAAUAACAGAAAAUCAAGAGAGGUACCGAUUGCCACGCCCAAACAAGGAGCAAUUGGCUCAAGAAAUUGAGAGUAAUAUCAGCGACUCACAACAUGACAGGUGAUUGAUGACCACCUGGAAACUUUGAUGACCUAAAUGCUUGUAAUUAGUAACUGACACUCAUCCCACCACCCACGCACACAGCACAGAUAAACAAGCACAAAACUCUGCAGAUUCGGGCGAGGAGAAAAUAGAGAGGCAGACAGAUAAUAAUGCCAGAAACAAAUACUGCCGGUGAUGCCUUAAAUAACGCGUAUUCAGGAGUUACCAUAUUCAAUAUAUUGUGUGGAAUCAUCUUUUAAAUAAAUCAUACAAUACUACACUGAAAAUUCACAAAUGCAGCGGCUUCUCGAAAUGAAAAACCAUUUAAGAUCAAUCAACAAAUGAAUCAAGCACAUAAAACAAACGCAAAUGACCCAGUACAGAAGAUCAAACUUCCAUAAAAACCGUCUAAUUAAUGCAUCACUAAUCCAUUCAAGUUGUGAGCAUACAAAUUAUGAAAUCUCAAAACCCAAAAAAAAAAAAAAAAAAAAGGGGCCAUAAACGCUAGGCAAUAAGUUCACUGACCUCAAAAAUUAACCCGGCAAACCCAGAUGGAUCAGAUGACAAAUCCAAUCUUUUAAAGAAAGCAAGUCGGACAAAAACGGUUUUUGGGUCACUUUCUGAUCUAAUCAACUGAUUUUUGUUUAAUUAUGGAAAUUUCCUCGGCUGCCGUGCCAUGUCUGUAUUAUUGUGUGAAUCAUGGUUUUUUUUUUAUUUUGGGUUGCUAUCCGAUGUGAAUUUGAUUAUAUUUUCUUCAUUGAUUUUUAAGUAGACUGUAUUUCCUCGUCAGAGGAUAUCAUAUACACACAUUAACCUACGAUUUGGACCCACCACGUUUAUUUGUCUAUUUUUUUUUAAUUGGAUGUUGACAAAAUUAAGACAUUUUCAAAGAAACUUAAUUCCAAAUUUAAUCAUUAUAAUAAGAAAACCAGGAACAAGCUACCGUUACUUGAUUCCAUUUCCUGCCACGAAUACAAUGAACAGUUUUUUUUUUCUUUUUUUAGUAACUUUUAAAUUUUAGUCUAAUUUGCCUACUUAUUUUAUAUUUUAAUUAUUAAAUCAUAUUAUAAUGUAUGUAUGUAUGUAUGGUCGUUGGUUGCAUUAAGAGACCAAUAUGUAUAUAUAUUAAUUAUUAAGGGGAUUUGAAAUUGAAAUGAAAAAAAUAAAUAAAUAAGCAAAUCUAUGGCACAUUGCGGGGAAGAUGUUUGUGAAAACGCCAGGCCACUGGUAAUCGCUUGUCGGUGAGGGAUAAAGCUCAGUACCAACCAAUCAAGAAAAUAGAACAUCAUUUAAGAUUUCACGUGCUUGUUUUUGUACUUGAAAGGAGCACAUUCACCCUUACCAAGAAUUUGCGUUGCCUGCCUUGACCUGAGGAAGGGGCUGCAAUUGCAAUGCAAGCCAAGUAACAUUCAAAUUAAGGUAAAGAAAAGAAAGGCAAAAGAGGUAAUCAAUUAAAAAACCAAAAAAUAAAUAAAAUUAGACUUCGUGAUCAAGUCAUGUGAUCUGCUUUGAUUGAUUUCAUGGACUAAAAAGUAAGCAAAGAACGGAAAGCUUUAGUUGACCUAACAAGAGCCAAGAAGGUGUUAAAAUUAUAUCGGAUGGUAUGUUAUUGUAAAUGGUUGAAACUGCCUUAUCAUAUCAAAUUUUACAGCAAUUGAAACAAAUUGAAUUAGACUUUUUUUUCAAAUUGAGGUGCUAUAAAUUUCAGUUAGUUGUAGAAAAAAAUUGAAAGUAUAAAAUAAAAAUUAAUAAUAUGUAAUAAAUAUAAAUUUUAAAUAAUAAUUUUGAUAAAAUUAUUAAAAAUAUAAAAAAUUAUAUUAUAUAAAUAAAAAAUUAUAUCAACAUAAUUUUUAAAUUAUAAAUUUAAUACUGUAAUUAUAAUUUUUAAAUUAUAACUGCACCCGUAAUCAUCGAAGGACAAAACGAUUGUGUUGUACCCUCCUAAAUAUUAUAUGUAUAAUAUCCAUGGCCAUGGAAGUGAAGUGGAAACGGGGUAUUGGAGCAGCGCACGAGGUGGGGCCUACUGCUCGAAAAUGACAACGCCUCAGGGGUAUCAAUAUUAUACGUGGGGUUGCACUUGCACUAGAGGUGGUAAAAAUACCCGCUCGAUCCGGACCCGAAUCGUAUCCGGGUGUUGUGGGCUGAGUAUUAUCCGGUCCGGGUAUGAAGUCGGAUCGGUCUUGAGCAUCACUUGAUAAAUUCAAAACUCGAAUUUUAUAUAAAAUCCGGGUACCCGAAUUAAAACCCAACCCGGACCCGGACCCGGACCGGUUGUAUCCGGGCAGGGUCCGGUCAUGGCAAUACCCGGACCCGGCCCGGGGUUUUGCCAUCUCUAACUUGCACCCACUAGUAGCAAAGAUGCGUCGGGUCAUCAUUUUAUUGGCAAUUACAGUAAGAAGAAUCCCUUGGAAAUAUAUACUUUUUGUAUGUUUUUCUUCCGUCUUUUUAAUUGUAUGUGUGUUCGUCAUGAACAAAACAGGAUUCAAACUUAGAUUCAUAAAUAAUGAUACAAUAAAAGCAACAAAUGAUUCACGUACUACUGCGAGAGAGAGAGAGAGAUUAAUUGACGACCCAUAAAUUCAAAAGUUUCUGAUUAAUCAUAAUCAUAACAGAAUUAACAUUGAACAUAGAGAGUUUAUAUAGCUUCAGUAUGGAAGGGGAGGUAGGAACUCAACUGCUAAAGCUGAAUAGAGAGAGUAAUUGAAAGGAAACACAUCGCUUGGAUACUAAUAAUCUAAUAAAUUUGACCUUUUAAGCCUCGGAUGGUUCGUCCUUGACUUUGUCCUUGUCUUUGUCGUCGGCGGCAUCAUCGGAUUCAGAGGAAGCUUCGUUGCUUCCUUCAACGGCGUCGUCGGGAUCGCGAGCAGGAUCGGAUUUGUCCAUGGCGGCUCGAACCUUGUCGAGGAACGGCUUCAAAGCCAACUCAAUAGCCAGCCACCCAAACGCUAGAGCACCAACAACGGUCAGCGCUUUCUUCAUCUUCUCCACACCCCUCCUUUCCUUAAACUGCGCUGCUUCUAUUUCUAUCUCUAUGCCACUAGUUAGCUAUCAAUUUUGUCUUCAUUUUCUAGGUCAAAUUACAACAAAGGGUAUUUUAAUUUUGUCUUCGUUUUCUAGGUCAAAUUACAACAAGGGUAUUUUUCCCCCUUUCUUGCGUAUUUGGAAAGGAAGCAAUACACUAAUUCCCCCUCCCUCCGCCUCCGGUUUAAAAUUCGAAAAUUCGGUCCCCCUUUGUUUGCCUUUUACCUUUAGCCCUAUUUUCCUCUUGGGCUCUGCUAAUUACGAUCACAUUAUCAUUAAUUACCAGUGUUGUAUUAAAGGAUUUAGCUUUAGUGCUGCAUUGAAUUUUUUAUUAAUCUUGUAGAAAUAUAUAAUUACUAAUUAUUGAAUAAGAAUAUAAUAAAAUACAAUUAGUAAUUAUUAAAUAAGAAUACAAAACUAAUUAAAACUUAGCAGCAUAUUACUGUACGUGCAAGUGUUAUAGAAGAUCAUAAAAAAUUGAACGCAACUCAACAUUUGGACCUAGAUCCUAAAUCCUAUAUUAAAAUAUAAGAAUUUCU